CUGGCCGGGAACGCCGCCAAGGACAACAAGAAGAGCCGCAUCGUGCCCAGGCACCUGCUGCUGGCCAUCCGCAACGACCAGGAGCUCGGGAGGCUGCUGUCCGGCGUCACCAUCGCCCACGGCGGCGUCAUCCCCAACAUCAACCCGGUGCUGCUCCCCAAGAAGGCCGCCGAGAAGGCUGAGAAGGCCGGCACCGCCGCCAAGUCGCCCAAGAAGGCCACCAAGUCCCCCAAGAAAGCCACCAAGGCGUAGAUUGUAGUAGUGCGGUGUGCUGAUUGUUCGAGUUUGGUUAGAUGUAGUAGCUGCUUCACUCUGUAUCCUGCGCCCCUGAUGUAAUCGCGAACAAAGGGGAAGCCGCUUGCUUCCUCUUGACUUAUGAAUUAUCAACUAAGCGUUUCUGAACUGAAUUUGUCUCUGUUCAUUUAUUCAGAUUUGGAACUGAACUAAAUUUGUUUCAUGAAUUAUUUGGGAUCCAAUGAGACCCUCCAUUCAUAAGCUCACAUAACGAGCACAAAAUCCUCUCAUAUUUGUACAGACCAUAGCUGAAAUGUAACUGACGAACAGAACUGAAGCUGUUGCUCACAUGGUGGACAAAUCUUCAGGUUCCUCUUCCGUUGUGCAAUUCCUAGAGCCGGAAUGUUUACCAGGGCUCUGAAGCUACACUCGUCUGUCAUGUGAACAAUUCUGCUGAGCACAUUCUGAUUGGGCGGCACACAUUUUUUGCCCCAUUUCUGGAAGCUAAAUAAAUAUAUCACCGCCUCCUCUGUCAGACAACUCAACGGCUGCUCAAGCUCUCGUUGAACCUGUUGUGCGUCUGCUCCAUUGUCGAGUGGCAAAAAAAAGGCUUACUCUGCUGCUAAACCAAGACGUGUUCCGAUCUUGUGAAUGCGACGAGCCGGUGGCGUAGGCGACAAAAUAUUGCAGUAUCUCCAAUGGAUGGUCUGCUGGAUUUCGUUUACUGAUAAUGCGCCAAGCAAAUCGUAGCGAAUCAAGAGUAAUAAUACUGCUAAACCUGUUUCCCUUUUUUAAAGAGGGAACGAAUCUGGAGAAUAUAUAAACAGUACGACAACGCGAGUGUUAGACAAUCCAACGUGAGAUAAGCACACUUUGAGUUCGGCUUAAUAUCCGAGCCAAGAAGACACACGACAACAGAAAGAAUGGAGAACAUGGUGGGAAAUGCAUUGGAGCACCCGGGCACCACACCCCCCUAUAUGAAAAUAGCACUAAAAAAUAGGAAUUUCUAUUUUCAUGGCCCUUCUUCCUUUGUUCUGCUCAGGUUUCCCCGUCCAUCUAAGUGCGUUCACUUUUGCUCCCCAACACUUGCCCGCGCCUCAGAAAAGGCCAAAUGGUGUCUUGCCGACUGGUCAAAGCCUUUGACCGUUACUUCCCGGUGCUGACGCGUGGGCCCAAUCUAAGAUGAUGACAUGUGGGACCGAUUGGUGCUGAGGCAUGGGGCCGACGUGAGAUGAUGACAUGUGGGAUCGGUUGGCGGACAACCGGUGCUGACGCGUUUGUCUAAAAAAGAGGGGGACGAAUUAUCUCUCUCAUUUCGCACCCCCCGCGGCCCGAGCAACCCAAUUCCACCUCCACCUCCCCCAUCCCCGUCCCCACCCCCUAAUCCCGUAGCCACCGUCGGCUGACGCGACUAUGGAGGUGUUCUGCGCCGGUGACCCUGUCUUACUAGAGAAGUGCAAGGAGAUCUCCUAUUGGUUUCCUAGCACACAAGUUCUGGCGGAGCAUGCUGUAGCGACCAGACUUCAAACAGUCUGAUCUCUGUGCAUCAGUGUCAUCCUUGGAUCAGUAAUGCUGACACGCACAGUAUUUGAAGGAUUUAUAACAGAGUGACAAUCACACACUUAUUACAUCGAAUGUCUCAAAAGAGAACUUAUUACAAUAAAUAUGGCUUAAGACCAUCUAAUAACGAUAACAACGGAAGGCUUGGAAAAUAAGUGAGUCCAUCAACUCCAAUGGCAUCACUGAGUAUAGGACCACGAUCCUAAGGCAUCUUACUCAUCGUCUGAAAAGUCUGCAACAUAAACGUUACAGCCCGAAAACGGGUCAACACAUGGAAUAUGCUGGCAAUGUAACACAUAGAGAGUAAUGAACAAAAAUAUGCUAUACUACAUGCAUAUAUGGCUGGUGGAAAACUCUAUGGUUACAGUUUUACAUAAAGCCAAAUUUUCCCUACUGCAAAGGAAUAAAUUUUAUUUAACUAUCAUGGUGGUUGUUAAUCAUUGAGAAUGGUUGACAACAUUCUCAAUCCCAAUUAAAUAUCAUCAUUUAAACCCCACAAUAGUAAUUUAAAGUAACAUGAUGAGAAUUCACUUGAUAAUUCAAGUACUAGAUACUCAAAACGUCCAUAACCGGGGACACGGCUAACCAUGAUUAGUUUAUACACUCUGCAGAGGUUUGUGCACUUUUCCCCACAAGACCCGAUAUCCUCCGUUGGUUUUCUCGCACUGCAUGGUGUUUGAGAAACGGAUGACCGAGACAUAGUCUUUCAGAAGCGCUAGCACCUUACGAUUGGGUAGACCUGUACACCUACUUUCCCCUACAUCUGCUAGUCUACCACUGUAAGAGUUCGCAUGACUUAAUCAACUAUGCUAGAGCCCAUAAUAGCAUGUGGCUGCACACGGAAGUUUCUAGCAUGAAUAAUCUUAUGAUCCCUUUGAGUAUGGGUGGCGGUCCAUAGGAAAAAUCACACGGUACCCCGGGAUUUCCAAAAAUACAGGCAACACUGGAUUCUCCAGGUGCUUCAAUCCACCCAGAUGUGUAUUAAAGUUGCCACCUUAAAAUAAACCCUUAAUUAACAAUCUCACAUCUGUCAUGGAAACACUCACCCAAUCCGCGUCUACUAGCAUAGCAUGGCAAUAAGCAAAUGUAGAAGUAACUCCCAAGGGUUUAAUAAUAAAACAGGUGAUAGAUACUACCUCAUCUACUUCCCAAAAUCCACAUAUUAAUCAGAUCCUAAUCAUGCAAUUGUUUGAGGAAUGAUCUAAUGCAAUAAAACUGGGUAGUAAGGAGGUAUGAUCAAAGUGUUACCUGCCUUGCUGAUGAUCCAUGAAACCUAGAGAUUCGAAGUAGCAAGCGGCGCACUCCGGGUACUCUAUCGCAAACAAACAAGCAUACAAUAAACACUCAUCUAAUGCACGGAUAAAACUCAAAUAAGAGAUUUAACCAGAAAGUUCAACUUAAGGACUCCGGUUUGCAAAAAGAAUCAAAUCAAAUGAAGCAACGAAAGUCAAACGGCGAAAGAAACAGACUUCGUUUACUAAUCUGGAUGUAAGUCUAAUUUUACAGUAGCAAAAACUUGUUUGAGUUGGUUAAACGGAAAGAGGGUUUCGAGACGAAACUCUGGGCGCUUGAAUCGCCAGAUUCCGAUAAACGAGCAAAAAUAUAAACUAAAACGAAAAACAGAUCGGAAAUCGCGAUCAGAAAUAAUCACGGAAAAUCCGAGAAAAAGAAAAACUGACGAACAGGCUAACGAAUGAACAUUCGCUGUCUGCGGCUAAAAGAUGAAAACCGUUCGUUAAAACGAACGUACGAACGAACGUCCACUAAAUAAACUAAACAAAAAAAACAGAUCUAUGUUUUUUUUUAAAAAAAAACCGACCGAAAAACCGGCGGAAAACCGAACGGUUUUCUCGAGGAAAACCGUCGGCGGCAAGGCGGCGACUACCUCCGGCGAGGGGGCNNNNNNNNNNNNNNNNNNNNNNNNNNNNNNNNNNNNNNNNNNNNNNNNNNNNNNNNNNNNNNNNNNNNNNNNNNNNNNNNNNNNNNNNNNNNNNNNNNNNNNNNNNNNNNNNNNNNNNNNNNNNNNNNNNNNNNNNNNNNNNNNNNNNNNNNNNNNNNNNNNNNNNNNNNNNNNNNNNNNNNNNNNNNNNNNNNNNNNNNNNNNNNNNNNNNNNNNNNNNNNNNNNNNNNNNNNNNNNNNNNNNNNNNNNNNNNNNNNNNNNNNNNNNNNNNNNNNNNNNNNNNNNNNNNNNNNNNNNNNNNNNNNNNNNNNNNNNNNNNNNNNNNNNNNNNNNNNNNNNNNNNNUGGCGGCGUCGGCGGCGGGGCGGCGCGGCGCGGGAUCCGGCGCCGGCGGCGGCUUAGGGUUAGGGUUUGGGCGCGGGGCGGGCUGGUGGCUCGGGUGGGCUCGGGCGGCGCAUUAUAAAGGCCCGGCCAGGCGGAGUCCUGGCCGAACACGGCCCAAAGUCGUAUUCGUUUUUUUAAAACAUUACGCGCAGAAAAACAAAUAAAAUAAAUACUAAACGGGCUCCAAAAAUCCCGAAAUAAAUUUUUCCCGACUUCUAAAAUCAAGCCGGUUUAGAUGAACAUUUAUUUGGGGCCUAAAUGCAAUUUUGAAAAACGUGCAUUUUUUCCUAAUUCAAAUAAAAUAGCAAUAAAAUCCAAAAUAAAAUCUUAUUUGAUUUUUUAUUAAAUCCUCAAUAUUUCUCUAUUUUGGGAAAGUCAUUUUAUUCCCUCUCUCAUAUUUUAUUAUAGAAAUAAUUGAAGAUAAAAUAAAUAAAAUCAAAUGAUCCUAUUUUCAAAAUUUGAGAAAACUCAAAUAUGAAAAUAACGAAAUUCCCAACUCUCUCCGUGGGUCCUUGAGUUGCGUGAAAUUUCUAGGAUCAAGCCAAAAUGCAAUAAAAUAUGAUGUGCAAUGAUGAUCUAUGUAUAACAUUCCAAAUUGAAAAUUUGGGAUGUUACAAACCUACCCCCCUUAAGAUGAAUCUCGCCCUCGAGAUUCGGGUUGGCUAGAAAAUAGGUGAGGGUGGUCCUUCAGCAGAUCUUCCUCUCACUUCCAGGUGGCUUCCUUCUCGGUGUGGUGGCUCCACUAAACUUUGCAAAACUUGAUAACCUUGCUGCGGGUGACUCGGGUGGCAUACUCAAGAAUCUUUACGGGUUUUUCCUCAUAUGUCAAAUCACUAUCCAACUAAAUCGCUUCUAGCGGCACUGUAUCUCUCAGCGGUAUAUCAGCCAUCUCUGCGUGGCAUUUCUUCAACUGGGACACGUGGAAUACAUCAUGAACUGCUGACAAUCCUUCGGGCAAUUCCAACUUGUAGGCAACUUCUCCCAUACGCUCCAAAACUUUGUAUGGUCCCACAAAACGUGGCGCUAACUUCUCUUUAACACCAAAAUGCUUAACUCCUCAAAGUGGAGAUACUCGAAGAUAAACUCUGUCUCCGACUUCGUAAACUGUGUCCUUGCGUUUUGAAUCAGCGUAGCUCUUCUGUCUGGACUGGGCUACCUUGAGUCUAUCGCGAAUCAAUUUCACCUUCUGUUCAGACUCCUUAAUCAAAUCUGGCGCAAACAACCGGCGGUCUCCAACUUCAUCCCACGACAACGGGGUUCUCCACCUCCUUCCGUACAAGGCUUCGAAAGGGGCCAUCUUCAAAGUGGAUUCAUAACUGUUAUUGUAGGAAAACUCUGCAUAUGACAAAUUUUCAUCCCAACUAGAUCCAUAAUCUAGCGCACGGGCUCUCAGCAUAUCCUCUAAAAUAUGAUUGACUCUUUCGGUCCGUCCAUCUGUCUGCGGGUGAAAAGCUGUACUGAACUCUAGCCUGGUACCCAAAGUUUCGUGCAACUGAUUCCAGAACUUUGAGGUAAACUGGGUUCCUCUAUCUGAUACAAUGCUCCUCGGAACUCCAUGCAGACAUACGAUCCUGGUCAUGUAUAUGUUUGCCAACUUAGCAUAGGUGUAAGUGGUCUUCACUGGGAUGAAAUGAGCUACCUUCGUUAAACGAUCGACUAUAACCCAAAUCGAGUCAUAGCCUGAACGAGUCCUGGGAAAGCCCGUAAUGAAAUCCAUGCCUAGCUUAUCCCAUUUCCAUUCGGGUAUUGGCAAUGGCUGUAACAAUCCUAUUGGCUUCUGAUGCCCUGCCUUUACUCUCUGACAUACAUCACAAACUGCUACAUAUUCUGCAAUAUCUCUCUUCAUUCCGGUCCACCAGAAAGUAUCCUUCAAAUCCAAAUACAUCUUGGUAUUUCCUGGGUGAAUCGAAUACGGUGAAUCAUGGGCCUCUUGCAGAAUUAACUUUCCGAUCUCCGGGUCAUUAGGCACAUAAACACGAUCUUCAAACCAUAUGGUAUCGUGCUCAUCCUCACGAAAUCCCUUAGCUUUUCCUUGGCUCAUCCUCUCCUCUACAUCAACAAUCUCUUUGUCAGUCUUCUGAGCUUCUCUGAUAUUAUCCAUCAAAGUAGAUUGAAUCUCCAGUGCUGCUACAUAGCCUCUCGGAACUAUCUCCAAACAUAGCUCAUGAAGGUCCUCGGCUAACUCCUUCGGUAACUCUCCAUUCAUGAGGGUGUUGACAUGGCUCUUUCGGUUCAACGCGUUGGCUACUACGUUAGCCUUUCCCGGGUGAUAAUACAAUCUCAUAUCAUAAUCUUUGAUGAGUUCCAACCAUCUCCUUUGCCUGUGAUUCAACUCCUUUUGUGUGAAAAUGUACUUCAAACUCUUGUGAUCCGUAUACACCUCACAAUGGUUUCCUAUGAGAAAAUGCCUCCAGGUCUUCAGUGCAUGCACUACGGCUGCUAACUCCAAAUCAUGGGUAGCAUAAUUCAACUCAUGGGUCUUAAGCUGUCGUGAAGCAUACGAAACAACUCUUCCCUCCUGCAUAAGCACGGCUCCUAGUCCUCGACGUGAAGCGUCGCAAUACACCUCGUAAUCCUUGCUUUGAUCUGGCAGAAUCAAUACUGGCGAGGUAACCAAAGGUUCCUUCAACUCCUGGAAACUGGCCUCACAUUACUCAGUCCAAAUGAACUUGGUAUCCUUCUUUAACAACUCCGUCAUGGGUUUUGCAAUCUUCGAAAAGUUUUUAAUAAAUCUCCGGUAGUAUCCUACGAGUCCAAGAAAACUCCGGAUCUCUCCCACUGUUGUUGGUGCUUCCCAGUUUGUUACAGUGACAACCUCGGUGGGGUCUACUGCUAUACCUUCUCCGGAUAUAACAUGUCCGAGGAAUCCAACUUUCUUCAACCAAAAUUCACAUUUGCUGAACUUGGCGUAUAACUGGUGUUCUCUGAGCUUCUCCAGUACCAAACGCAAAUGCUCCUUAUGCUCCUCUUCGUUUUUUGAGUAGACCAAAUAUCAUCAAUGAACACCACGGCAAACUUAUCCAAAAACUCCAUAAACACCUUGUUCAUCAUGUUCAUGAAAUAGGCAGGUGCGUUAGUCAGACCAAAUGACAUAACGGUGUACUCAUACAGCCCAUACCUGGUGGUAAAAGCCGUCUUAGGUAUAUCCUGCUCUCAAAUCUUUGCUGAUGGUAUCCUGAUCGCAAAUAGAUCUUGGAAAAUACCUUAGCUCCUUGCAAUCGGUCAAACAAAUCAUUGAUCAUCGGCAGUGGGUACUUGUUCUUGAUUGUUACUGCAUUUAACCCUCGAUAAUCAACAACCAUCCUCAAUGAUCCGUCCUUCUUCUCCACUAGAAGUACCGGUGAUCCCCAAGGCGAAGAACUUGGGCGAAUAUAUCCUUUAUCCAGUAACUCCUUAAUCUGCCGCUUAAUUUCCUCCAAAUCUUUAGGGGGCAUCCGGUACGGUCUCUUAGGUAUCGGCCCUGUGCCUGGCAAAAGCUCAAUAAAAACCUCAACGUCUCUAUCCAGUGGCAUGCCUGGCAACUCUUCCGGAAAUACAUCAGGGAAAUCCUUCACCACUGGUACUUCCUCCUGCACAACUCCUGAUAAGGAAUUUACUUGCAUCCUCUUCGGCUCAUGUCUUGAUACAUACUUGAUCCUUCUCCCUUCUGGGGUGGUAAGCAAAAUUGACUUACUGGCGCAAUCGAUAUUUCCUCCAUACAACGAUAGCCAAUCCAUGCCCAGAAUUACAUCCAAACCUUGAGAUUCCAAAAUGAUUAAAUCCGAGGGGAAACAUGCCUACCUAUACUUAAUGGCACUUGAAAACAACCUCGACUGGCCAUAUACUCCGCUCCUGGUGAGCUUACUAACAUAGGUGUGCUAAGAACUUUGGUGGGCAAUUUAUACUUAUCCACAAAUCCCCUUGAUAUGUAUGAAUGCGAUGCACCAGUAUCAAAAAGAACGAUUGCAGUAAAUGACUUAACCAAAAACUUACCUACUACUGCAUCUGGCUGGGCUUCAACCUCCUCCACAUUAAUGUGGUUCACCUGUCCCCUGUUGAAAGGGUUAGGCUUCUUUCUAGAGCUUCCAUUUCCAUUACCAUUCUUUGCUUCAGGACAUUCAGUGGCAUAAUGCCCAGUCUUCUGACAUUUAUAAUAGGUGAUGCGGUUCAGAUCCCUCUUGGCUGGUGUUGGUGGGUUGGUACGGUUCUGGCCGUUGCUUCCUCCAUUCCCAUUACCAUUCUUGGGGCCACUAUGGUUGUGCGAACUACCUCCUCCAUGGGUAUGCUAGAAAUGUCCUCCCGAGUUCGGGGUAAAACGAGGCUUCUGCUGAGCUCCAGAAUUGUUCUUCCCCUGUCCAUACUUCCUCUUGCGGUUUUCAAUCUGCUGCUGCUUCCCUUCAAUCAUAAGAGCACGGUCUACCAACUCCUGGUAGUUUGUUGAAACUUGCUACCAUCAACUGCAUGCUCAGCUCAUCAUUCAGUCCUUCCAGAAACUUCUCCUGCUUAGCUGCAUCCAUAGCAACGUCCUAUGGGGCAUAACGUGCUAACUUACUAGAGUCAUCCACAUACUGGCCAACUGUCCGUCCUCCUUGGCGCAAGUGGCGAAACUCACGCUUCUUCAUGGCCAUAGCUCCUGCUGAAACAUGGGCAGUACGGAAAGCCUACUGAAAUUGGUCCCAUGUGACAAUGUCUAGAGGAUAAGUGGCUGUGAAAUUCUCCCACCAUGAUGCUGCGGGUCCUUCAAGCUGAUGUGCCGCAAAGCGCACCUUUUCCGCAUCCGUGCAUCCUGCAGUGGUCAACUCCCUUCCUAUCUUGCGGAGCCAAUCAUCUCCAACAAUCGGCUCGGUGCUACUGAAGAACACCGGUGGAUUCAGCCUAAGAAAACAGGUUAACUGAUCAACAGGUGGUGGUGGGUUGUUGUUGUUGUUGUUGUUGUUCCCCUAAUUCUAAUUCUAGACUAGCAACUGCAUGAAGGCAUUCUACUGCUGGAUCAACUGAGUGAGCUCCGGUGGGAAAGCAAAUCCAUUGUCACGUCUCGGAGGCAUCUGAGGGUUUAGAAAAGAUGAGAAUAUAGAAUAGGAAUGAGGUCUAGAGGGAAAACACUACCCAUAUGCACAUGAGACAAACUUGCAAUCAAAACACUUCAUUCAAUUCAAACAAGGGCAUACAUCGGUCUAACUAUCAUUACAAAAUGCUCAGACUAUACUAGAUACAUGGGGGAAUACUACUACUGUUAUGGUGGUCGACUAGAAAAACUGCUCCAAUGAAGACUCCAUGAUAUCUGCUCCAGCUUCAUUAACAUAGUCAUCAUCGCUAUCGUCUGGAUCCGAGUCGGUGUCGUCGAUGAUGAUGUAGUUCUCUGGAUAGGUGCAAUCUUCGUCUUCUCCUCCAGUUGUGGGGAAUCCCAUGAAUACCUUUAGCUUCUUCUUCAGAUCAUCGCUCUUCUCCACUAGUGUUGCUAUUUCCUCCUCAUAUCCAUCGCGUGUAUACUUGAGUUCUUCCUCCAGUUCCGUGAUCUUGGUUCUGUCCUUCUUCAGAUCUAUCAUGCCUGCGCACAUCUGGUUCUCCUGGCGUCGAAUGUGCUGGUUUAACUCUUGAAUGAAGGCAGCAACUGAUCUGUCCUUCCUGGUACUGAUCAUCUCCCAUUGCUCAUCUCGUCGCCCACAAAUUUGGUAGAUAGUAUCCUUAAGCUCCUUGUGGGAAACUUCUCCAAUACGUCCCAUUGUGAUGUGGGCUGCCAUGCUCUUUCCUAGACUCCAGGUUGGUGCAUCGAAGGAAAACUCUAUGGGCUCAGUGACGGGCAUGAACAUCCUUCCUAGAACUUGAGAACUUGAAUCGUCUAGCGCUCCUCUUCAGGUAAAGUGGCAUUGUAGGUCCCAGUGAAGCUUGGCACUACGAUGUUCAGGUACUUGGUGACUUCCUUCAGGUGUUGUCCAAAGGGUGUAUCUUCAUCCGGUUGCGUGAACUUGUUCCUUGCAUCCACCAUCCUAAAAGAGAGUAGAAAAGAUGAGGAGUCAGAAAUGAGAAGAGUGAGUAGUGAUAUAGGGCUUUUGCUUAAUGGUCGUGUCCUACAGUCAGCGUGUGCUCUGAUACCAUCUUGUAGCGACCAGACCUCAAAUAGUCUGAUCUCUGUGCAUCAGUGUCAUCCCUGGAUCAGUAAUGCUAACACGCACAAUACUUGAAGGAUUUAUAACAGAGUGGCAAUCAUACACUUAUUACAUCGAAUGUCUCAAAAGAGAACUUAUUACAAUAAAUAUGGAUUAAGGCCAUCUAAUAAUGAUAACAGCGAAAGGCUUGAAAGAUAAGUGAGUCCAUCAACUCCAACAGUAUCACUGAGUAUAGGACCAUGAUCCUAAGGCAUCUUACUCGUCGCCUGAAAAGUCUGCAACAUGAACGUUGCAGCCCGAAAAUGGGUCAACACAAGGAAUAUGCUGGCAAUGUAACACAUAGAGAGUAAUGAACAAAAAUAUGCUAUACUACAUGCAUAUAUGGCUGGUGGAAAGCUCUAUGGUUACAGUUUUGCAUAAAGCCAAAUUUUCCCUACUGCAAAGGAAUAAAUCUUAUUUAACUAUCAUGGUGGUUGUUAGUCAUUGAGAAUGGUUGACAACAUUCUCAAUCCCUAUUAAGUAUCAUCAUUUAAACCCCACAAUAGUAAUUUAAAGUAACAUGAUGAGAAUUCACUUGAUAAUUCAAGUACUAGAUACUCAAAACGUCCAUAACCGGGGACACGGCUAACCAUGAUUAGUUUAUACACUCUGCAGAGGUUUGUGCACUUUUCCCCACAAGACCCAAUCUCCUCCGUUGGUUUUCUCGCACUACAUGGUGAAAGUACAUGUAGUACCCAUGUGUGGUUUUGGUAAUUAAUGAUAAUCCUAAUGGACUAAUGUUUGCAUUAAGUUAUACAUUUGAAGGAAAGUUCCAUUUCCAAUGCAUGAAGAAUAUUGGAUGAACUGAAGUAUGUUUAUUCCAUGGUGAUGCAAGAAGGAGAUAGAAUGGAUUUCAAAUGAAUGACAUGUACAUAUUGUUGUGCAUGCAUCAAGGCUUAUGGGUUGAACCAUGAUGGAUCAAGAUCUUGAGAGAAUGAUUAAAGAGAAGAAUUCUACAUAUGCUUGAAGAUAGGAUCAUUAUGAGCUCAUAUGUUGAGUCAUGGAUUAGUAUGUCAUGAAGCAAGUAAUUCAAGUGAAGAAUUCAUUGUGCCUCUCAAGAUACUAUGUUGGAGCAUGAGAACGAGCAAAUGAGGUCCAAUAUGAUAUUCAAGGAGAAAAUUGAUAUGGUCAUGAUGAAUUAAGAUAUUGGUUAUUAUGUCUUGAAGAAAUGAAGCAUAGUGAAGAUAUCAAUAGGGCCUUAAAGACAUCAAUAUUAAUCAUGGAGCAAAGAUAAAUGUUGACCAAGAUGAAGAUCAAAGAUUGACCUCUAAUAUGGACAACACACAAGCACAUAUCAUGUGCCACAUGAGAUAUUGUGGCAUGGUAAGAAUUUAUCAAUUGCGCUUUGUGUAUUAACCCAUACUAUGUGUUGUCUAUGUUAUGUGGGUUAGGUAAUUCUUAUGAGCUUGGUGCUCAUCAAAGGAUGUCAUCAAGUAAUUAAUGAUGAUGUACAAGUGAAGAUGAAUGCAAAGCAAAGCUUCCCACAUUGUGUAUGGGGAAGCUACUUGAAGACUUCUCCAAUGUCUUGCCUUCAACUUGAGCCAUGAAGAAACAUCAAUAUAAAGCUCAAGUGAAAGGCUAUAGUCAAAGGUAUUAGUUCCUUUGGCUUUAGAAGCGAGGAUCGAUGACCAUCGAAAAGGAUAUAUGCUCAAGAAUGAGUUUCCGGAAGCUAUCUAGUAUAGUUCUUUUAUGAUUCUUGAGUUAUAGGGAUCCCGCACUAUUAAGAGGGGAUCAAAGGGGUUAGUGAUGGAUUUGCUCAAGUCAACAUCAUCUAUUUCUAUUCUUCUCACAUCAUAUUCCAACAUAGGCAUAUUUCACUCCAAUCAAAUGCAAAUACAAAAUGCCUACACAUCUACCAAAGAAAAUCCAUAGCCAAAUAGGUUCCCCAAAGUAUAUGAUCUUACCUUUCCAUACUUUGCACCCUCCAUUUUGGUUUAUCUUGGGUGGUUGUCUAUGUGAGGACCUGGAGCUUUUCCAUAGCUUCAAAAUGAGCCCAAGAUCAUCGAAAUCAGAGUCCGGAUGUGAAAGUUAUGCAUGUUUUACUUUUGGGGCGGCUGUAGUUUUUGUUUUGGCCGGAUGUCCGGGCUUUUCCCCGGAUGUCCGGCCACUGCUAUCCAGAGGGCAUCUGAUUUGUGUGAAAUCACCGGAUGUUCGGCCCCUGGCCCGGAUGUCCGGCCGUAGAUUUCCAGAAACCUUACCGAAAUGCUGUUUGUAUACGCCGGGUCCGGCCCUUGGCCGGAUGUCCGGGGCCCCAAGUUUGGCCAGAUGUCCGGGCCCUGUAACCUGUUUUUCUGCGUACGUGUGUGCACACUUCAUAGCGCCCGGAUGUGCGGCCCCAGGCCUGGAUGUCCGGCCUGACACAACCACUUACACUCCAACGGCCAUAUUUGCACUACUACUAUAUAUAACCUUCUUCCACCCCGGGAGAAGGUUGAACAACACAUUCAUAUGAACCCUAGAACACAGAAAGGCUCCCUCUCACUUCUCCUACAGCAAAUCUUAGAUCCUAGAGAGAUUCAUUAGAGUUCUUGAGAGAUUUUCCAAUCAAGUGAUAGAUCCACUCCCUCUCCCUCUUGUGACCAAAGGAAUUCGUGAUUUGAGUAAGUCUUGAGCAUUUCUGCCUUGAUCUUGUUACUCUUGGUGUUGGAGACUCCUAGGCGGUAGGAGUGCUCUAGUGAGGAAUCAACUUGUGAUUUGCCUCCGGAAAGUUUGUGAAGGUUUGGAGGCCGCCUCAAGGUCUACUACUAGUGGUUGAGAAACGCCUUCAUGGUGUUGUCUCAAAGGGAGAAUAGGGUGAGCCUUCAUGGCGUUGGUGUGCCUUUGUGGUAACAUCCACCUCUCUAACGGUGACUAGCUUCCCUCCAAGGAAGUGAACAUCGGGAUACAUCCUCGUCUCCGUGUCUUCGGUUAUCUCUAACCCUAGCCACUACUUGUGGUUUACUUUGGUCUCUUGACCUUGCAUUCACUAUAUAUUGUUGUCCUCAUUAUAUUGUGUUGGCUAUUUCCUUGAAGAGGUUAUUUAGGCCUACACUUUAUAUCCCGCAAUUCAUACUUGCUACUAUUGAUAUAUCUUGUGUUUAGUGUGAAUUGCUAACUUGUGUCAUACACUUUCAUAUCUUGUCAUAUUCUCAAGUAAGUUUGUGUAACUUACUUGUUCUUGUUAGUAUCCUUGUUGUGCUCAUCUUAUUUAUAAUAAGUUGUUGGUGCACUUAGUUGAGCCUAGUGUAUUUAGGAUUUGUGCUUGAAAAGUAUCCUCUUAGUUUAUUUCCGCAUUAGGAUUAAGCCAAAUCCGUAGAAGUUUUUAAAACGCCUAUUCACCCCCCUCUAGGCGACAUCGUGGUCCUUUUACAUGGUGUUUGAGAAACGGAUGACCGAGACAUAGUCUUUCAGAAGAGCUAGCACCAUACGAUUGGGUAGACCUGUACACCUACUUUCCCCUACAUCUGCUAGUCUACCACUGUAAGAGUUUGCACAACUUAAUCAACUAUGCUAGAGCCCAUAAUAGCAUGUGGCUGCACACGGAAGUUUCUAGCAUGAAUAAUCUUAUGAUCCCUUUAAGUAUGGGUGGAGGUCCAUAGGAAACAUCACACGGAACCCCAGGAUUUCCAAAAAUACAGGCAACACUGGAUUCUCCAGGUGCCUCAAUCCACCCAGAUGUGUAUUAAAGUUGCCACCUUAAAAUAAACCAUUAAUUAACAAUCUCACAUCUGUCAUGGAAACACUCACCCAAUCCACAUCUACUAGCAUAGCAUGGCAAUAAGCAAACGUAGAAGUAACUCCCAAGGGUUUAAUAAUAAAACAGGUGAUAGGUACUACCUCAUCUACUUCCCAAAACCCACAUAUUAAUCAGAUCCUAAUCAUGCAAUUGUUUGAGGAUUGAUCUAAUGCAAUAAAACUGGGUAGUAAGGAGGUAUGAUCAAAGUUUUACUUGCCUUGCUGAUGAUCCGUGAAACCUAGAGAUUCGAAGUACCAAGCGGCGCACUCCAGGUACUCUAUCGCAAACAAACAAGCAUACAAUAAGCACUCAUAUAAUGCAUGGGUAAAACUCAAAUAAUAGAUCUAACCAGAAAGUUCAACUUAAGAACUCCGGUUCGCAAAAAGAAUCAAAUCAAACGAAGCAACGAAAGUCAAACGGAGAAAGAAACAAACUUCGUUUACUAAUCUAGACCUAAGUCAAAAUUUACAGUGGCAAAAACUUGUUUGAGUUGGUUAAACGGAAAGAGGGUUUCGAGACGAAACUCUAGGCACUUGAAUCGCCUGAUUUCGAUAAACGAGCGAAAAGAUAAACUAAAAUGAAAAACAGAUCGGAAAUCGCGAUCAGAAAUAAUGGCAGAAAAUCCAAGAAAAAGAAAAACCGACGAACAGGCUAACGAACGAACGUUCGCUGUCUGCGGCUAAACGACAAAAACCGUCCGUUAAAACGAACGUACGGACGAACGUCUGCUAAAUAAACUAAACCGAAAAAAUAGAUCUAGGUUUUUUUAAAAAAACCGAACGAAAAACCGGCGAAAAACCGAACGGUUUUCUCGAGGAAAACUGCCGAAAUAAAUUUUCUGCGCAGAAAAUUUAAACAUUACGCGCAGAAAAACAAAUAAAAGAAAUACUAAACGGACUCCAAAAAUCCUGAAAUAAAUUUUCCCCGACUUCUAAAAUCAAGCCGAUUUAGAUGCACAUUUAUUUGGGGCCUAAAUGCAAUUUUGAAAAACGCGCAUUUUUUCCUAAUUCAAAUAAAAUAGCAAUAAACUUCAAAAUAGAAUCUUUUUGUUUUUUUAUUAAAUCCUCAAUAUUUCUUUAUUUUGGGAAAGUCAUUUUAUUCCCUCUCUCAUAUUUUAUUAUAGAAAUAAUGGAAGAUAAAAUAAAUAAAAUCAAAUGAUCCUAUUUUCAAAAUUUGAGAAAUCUGAAAUAUGAAAAUAACGAAAUUCCCAACUCUCUCCGUGGGUCCUUGAGUUGCGUGAAAUUUCUAGGAUCAAGGCAAAAUGCAAUAAAAUAUGAUAUGCAAUGAUGAUCUAUGUAUAACAUUCCAAAUUGAAAAUUUGGGAUGUUACACAUGCGUUGCAAUUGUUGAGAGAUGCAACACCCGUUGAGAUCCGGCGGAUGAUUCCAGAUCCUGUUAAUGGGGUAACUUGUAAGGGGUUUUUUGUCUAGGCGAUGCAUGAGGCAAUGGAGUCGUCGGAUCCUCGUCAGCGAGCUCGCUGGUAUUCAUACGGGUCUCGCCGCGACCCACCGGAUCUAAAGGUCAAACUUGAGCUUGCAGCUAUUCUGUUGGUGAGAUACGUCCAGCCUCCUCUUGGUAUGUCUCUACACAUAAUUAUGCUUGAUAAUGUGGAGGAGUUUAUGAGGACCAUCGAAAUGCCUGGGCUCAGAGACGAGCAAACAGGGAGGAGGACGAGGAUUGGUUGUCAAAGCCUGCUCCGGCCGCCGAUGAGGAGGAGCACCAGGAUAAAUAUGCAAAGGAGGAUAGUCAUUCGUAUGCCAUGAAGCGUAUGAGCGAAGACGACGAUGUUUUAGGGCUUGUCAUGUUCAACGCAAAGCUGGAGGAUGAGUGGAAGCUCAUAGUUAUGUAAUUGGAGUUGUGAUGUACUUUUGUUUAUUUGUCACUCUCUACUGAAGUUUUCUAUAUUCAUGUGAGAUGUGUAUGCUACCUUAUCUACUUUUAGUAUGUUGAUCUGAGAUGUGUAUGCUACCUUAUCUACUAAAGUUUGUUUGUUUGUUUAUGUAUUGAAGUUUUUUUUUUGAAGUCUAUGGUAUUGUCAUUUUCUCAUUUUCCCACAAGCCAUUGCACAUGAGAGGCCUCUAUGCAAAAGGAUUUCAAUUUUGAGUUUUUUUCUUUUUUCUAUAAUUUAUUUCAAUGUGUUGUCAAAACUGUAUGGAUGACAAAUCAUAUAAAAUGGUUGGGAAUUAUAGUUUUAUUUGUGGGUACUGCCUAUAUUCGUAAUGUGCAAGGUGAAAAAUGUUUUUUCAGAAUUUAUUGGACCAAAGUAGAGCACACUUGCAGCGCAACGUUGAAUUACUUGAUGUAAAUCGCCCGAAAUACAAUUAAUCUAUGAAAAAUGGUAAUAUCACUCGGAAAUUUCAUGAAAAAUUGGCAUAUGGAAUCCCAUGUGGUAUACUUCAAGUGAAAAUUGUAAGGGCACUAUUUACAAUAUUAUUUAUGGCACUUGCUUCACAAAAAAGUCAUGUAUGGCACUAGAAAAAUGGAAAAUUAACUUUUUAUUAAAAAAAUCUUCAAUAUUUUUACAGAAUGAUUCCUCACAAUGAUAACACCCUUGUUAGUACAAAAAAUUGUCAUGUUAUCAUCUACUAUGCAAUGAAGAUGCUCAUGGGUAUGGUCAUCUUAAUUGAAAGUCAUCGAUCUUCAUAUGAGAUAGGUCAGUUUUGUGAAGUUUUUUUUCAAGUUUGUGGUAUUGUUAGUUUAUAAAUUUUUCCACAAGCCAUUGCACAUGAGAGGCCUCCAUGCAAUAGGAUUUAUAUUUUUGAGCUUUUUCCCCCUUUCUCUAUAACUUAUUUCAAUGUGUUGUCAAAAUCGCAUGGAUGACAAAUCAUAUAAAAUGGUUGAGAAUUAUAGUUUUCUUUGUGCAUACUGCCUACAUUCGUAAUGUGGAAGGUGAAAAUGAUUUUCCAAAAUUUAUUGGACCAAAUUAGAGCGCACUUGUUGUUCAAAUUUGAAUUACUUGAUAUAAAUCGCUUGAAAUUCAAUAAAUCUAUGAAAAAUGGCAAUAUCGGUCAGAAAUUCAUGAAAAAUUGGCAGAUGGAAUCCCAAGUGGUAUUUUCUUGUGAAAAUUAUAAGGGCACUAUUUACAAUAUUAUUUAUGCAUGCUUCACAAAAAAACAUGUAUGCCACUAGCAAAUGGAAAUAUUUUUUUAUUAACCAAAUCUUCAAUCUUUAUGUGAAAAUAUUGCUCAGAAUAAUAACAGCCUUGUUAGUAUAAAAAAUGGUCAUGUUAUCAUCUACUAUGCAAUGAAGAUGAUCAUGGGUAUAGACAUCUUAAUUGAAAGUCAUUGAUCUUCAUACGAGAUAGGUUAGUUUUGUGAAGUUUUUUUUCAAGUUUGUGGUUUAUCAGUUUUCCCACAAGCCAUUGCACAUGAGAGGCCUCCAUGCAAAAUGAUUUCAAUUUUUGAGCCUUUUUUCCUUUUUCUAUAAUUUAUUUCAAUGUGUUAUCAAAAUUGCAUGGAUGACAAAUCAUACAAAAUGGUUUGGAAUUUAGUUUUCUUUGUGGGUACUGCCUACAUUCAUAAUUUGGAAGGUGAAAAUAUUUUUUCAGAAUUUACUGGACCAAACUAUAGAACACUUGCAGUUCAACGUUGAAUUACUUGAUGUAAAUCUCUCGAAAUUCGAUAAAUCUAAGAAAAAUGGCAAUAUCACUCGCAAAUUUCAUGAAAAAUUGGCAUAUGGAAUCCCAUGUGGUAUACUUGAAGUGAAAAUUGUAAAGGCACUAUUUACAAUAUUAUUUAUGGCACUUGCUUCAGAAAAAAGUCAUGUAUGGCUGUAGGAAAAUGGAAAAUUAACUUUUUAUUAACCAAAUCUUCAAUCUUUUUGUGGAAUGAUUCCUCACAAUGACAACACCCUUGUUAGUACCAAAAUUUGUCAUGUUAUAAUCACUAUGCCAUGAACAUGCUCAUGGGUAAGGUCAUCUUAAUUGGAAGUCAUCGAUCUUCAUAUGAGAUAGGCCGAUUUUGUGAAUUUUUUUUGAAGUUUGUGGUAUUGUCAGUUUAUCAUUUUUUCCACAAGCCAUUGCACAUGAGAGGCCUCCAUGCUAAAGAAUUUCAAUUUUUGUGCCUUUGUUUCCUUUUUCUAUAAUUUAUUUCAAUGUGUUGUCAAAAUUGCAUGGAUGACAAAUCAUAUAAAAUGGUUGAGAAUUAUAGUUUUCUUUGUGCGUACUGCCUACAUUCGUAAUGUGGAAGGUGAAAAUGAUUUUCCAAAAUUUAUUGGACCAAACUAGAGCGCACGUGCUGUUCAACUUUGAUUUACUUCAUAUAAAUUGCCUGAAAUUCAAUAAAUCUAUGAAAAAUAGCAAUAUCGCUCAGAAAUUCAUGAAAAAAUGGCAGAUGGAAUCCCAUGUGGAAUUCUUUAGGUGAAAAUUGUAAGGGCACUAUUUACAAUAUUAUUUAUGGAACUUGCUUCACAAAAAAGUCAUGUAUGGCACUAGAAAAAAUAGAAAAUUAACUUUUUAUUUGUGGUAUUGUCAUUUAUCGUUUUCCCCACAAGCCAUUGGACAUGAGAGGCCUCCAUGCAAAAGGAUUUCAAUUUUUGAGACUUUUUCCUUUUCUUAUAAUUUAUUUCAACGUGUUGUCAAAAUUGCAUGGAUGACAAAUCAUAUAAAAUGGUUGGGAAUUAUAGCUUUAUUUAUUGGUACUGCCUACAUUCGUAAUGUGGAAGAUGAAAAUGAUUUUCCAGAAUUUAUUGGACCAAACUAGAGCACACUUGUAGUUCAACUUUGAAUUACUUGAUGUAAAUUGCGUGAAAUUCAAUAAAUAUAUGAAAAAUGGCAAUAUCACUCAAAAAUUCAUUAAAAAUUGGCAGAUGGAAUCCUGUGUGGUAUACUUCAGGUGAAAAUUAUGAGGGCACUAUUUACAAUAUUAUUUAUAGCAUUUGCUUUAUGAAAAAGUCAUGUAUGACACUAAAAAUGGAAAAUUAACCUUUUCAUUUGUGGUAUUGUCACUUUAUCAUUUUCCCACAAUUCAUUGCACAUAAGAGGCCUCCAUGCUAAAGGAUUGCAAUUUGGGAUUUUGAUCCUUUUUUCUUUUUUCUAUAAUUGUUUUCAUGCCGACGCGAAUGCUUGCGGCCUCACAUGUCAGUCCCACGCGAAUGCAUGCGACCUUCACGCCGAACCGAAUGCAUGUGGCCUUACAUAUUGGUCCCACGCGAAUGCAUGCGGCAGCCGUGCCUAGCCGAAUGCAUGCGGCCUUACAUGUAGGCCCCACACGUCAGCACCAGCGAAGUAAUGGUUAAAGGCUUUGACCAGUCGGCAAGGCACCGUCUGGCCUUUUCUGAGGCGCGGGCGCGCAAAGGAGGGAAAAAGCGAGCAAAGUUAGAUGGGCAGGGAAAACUAAGCGCAACUAAGGAACGAGGGACAUGGAAAUAAAAAUCCCUAAAAAAUAGUAGGAAAUUUCAAAAAAUCUAAAAUUUUGGGAUAUCAAAAUUGGGUGCCAAUUGUACACUCGUGUUUAUUUUUGCGAGGAAAGGGUGCUCGUGGUAUCCGCGGCAUAGGAAUUAUGGUCAGACAUACGAUACGUCCAUUUUCCCCUAUACAUACAUUUUUUUGUCUUUUUAUUGACAUUACUACAGGCAUCCAAUCCCCACGAAAUUGAACACAGAUGUACAAUGGACACCCAUGUUUGAUAUCCUAAAAUUUCAGAUUUUUUUGAAAUUUCCAGAAAUAGUUUUAGCCCUAUAUUCAGAUAGGGGUGUGUGGCACUUGAGAGCCACAAAUCCUAUUCCGAUCAUGACUCGUCUCACUGCACUAUUGGCCCUUGUUAUCCUACAUUCGUUGGUCGCCUCUGCGAGUAAGUUUUACCAAUUGUUUUUGCCAAGGUUGUGUUGCAUUACAUGCCCCUGUUUUAUGUAAUGUAAAUGAACUUUAAUUUGUGACUAGUGACUAAAAAACUCUAGAUGGUGUGCUUGAUUAAUGUUGUUCGAGCUCGCCGAAGGAACUACAUUAUUGUGCAAACCACCACAACUGGGGCAAUGGUUUGAAGAACAUUGGCUGCAAGCUGCCAGAGCAGAACGACGAGUGCAACGUGUGGUGCCAAUCGAACUGCCGCGGUGACGAAUGUAUGAAACAUGAUGGACUGCUCUUCUGUCAUUGUUAUUGUUGGUUGGGUGUGUAUUUCGCCGUUCAAAUUUGUACGCGACGAGUUGUAGUUAGAUGAUACCCUGCGUGUUGCUGCGAGUAUUGGUUGCACUAUAAUACACAAUUCGAUUUGGUUGUAUGAAACAUGAAUAUUUAGAUUAAUAAUAUGGAAAUGGAAAUGUGAGUCACUAGAUCUUAUACUUCCAUGAACGGGCCUUGUAUACAUGGGACCCUUCUAGGUUUGAGCCUUUUUGCUUCUUGCCCACGUGGUUGACUUUGCCUUUAUUUUAUUUCACACUCUCCUUUGACUUGUUGACUAUGAAAUUUGCUUAUACUUUUGUUGCCCGCCUUGGAUUUCGUUGCCACGCCAUGUAGGACUAACUUAGACACCUUUCUAUAAUUAAUUAUUCCCACAACAGCUAAAAUAUGAAAUUAAUAUAAGUAUCAUAUGGAAUGGAAAACCUUUUCCAUCAUAUAGUUGCAUGUUGAGGUGGGUCUCUUCUCCAUCCAUGGUUGCUUGUUCAAAUGACAUGCUUGCACGUUGAGAAGAGUAAGUUUGUGGAAAUUACCUAUUCUGUUAUAUAUCGGAUUUGCUAGGACUAUGUGCACCUUGUUGUAUAGAUAUCUAGAGAUAUGGUGUCAGUUUUUAUUGAUUGUAGAUUCUCAACGCAAUGGGGCUUAUAAGUCAACUACAAAAAAAUCUUUUUAUGGAGAAAAACUACUCUUUGGUCAAUUAUUAAUUUUGCUAGUAUAGAGGUGGUCAUGGAUAAAACCUCAUCACACAUGUUUUCUACGUCACGUAUAGGGGACGUCACAUGCGUUUUUUGGUGAAAUGCUAUCAUGUAAUGGUUCAUUACCGCCUCUCACAUGGUUUUGUUUUCUCACCAUUCUCAUCGGUGACUGUCUUUUGACCUACGCGAAUGACUUUUAUACUUGUGGAUCAUCAUAGAAAGUAAUAAUGUUGACCAGUAUGCAUUUUUUGUCAAAAUCAAACAAUGCGACCAUUCGGGCUCUAAUAAAGGAAGUUUAGCUCCAAUAGUUGAUGAAAACAAUAUGUAUUAUGGCUUUCCAUAGUCUUAGUUAGAUAUUGCCACAAAUUAAUGAAUAGACUAGAUCAUUGAUGGCGCGCGUUGCCACGCCUAUCCAUUUUGGCCUUCAGUGUGAGGUAAUUGGAUAAAAAUAGACACAAAACAUGAAUGUUGAGAUGAAUAUAUGUUUGCAACAUCCCCAUUUUUAUCGUAUGAUAGAAUAACACUCAUAGGAAUUUCCAUAAAAACAUGGAUGCAUCAGAAGCACCAGUUCUGAUUAUGCUCAUCUUGAGCAGAUAAUAUAAAUAUAAUUGAGAAAACUAAAGCAGUAGUAACAUAUAAUAGAAUUAAAAUGAUCAGAUUUAAAUGUAAUUUACAUUGUCAUGGAGUGGAGAAUCAAUGAACCAGAGCACAAAACCGAAAUCAAACUCCACAAAAAGGGUACAACGAUGCCUCAAUAGUUGUUUCACUGCCAGUUUACACUGCUUCAACCACAAACACUACAAUGAAAUUCCAAACACGUCAUAACAUUGCUUGUGUUGUUCAUACCCAGCUUUGGAAGUUAAAUACUUUUUGUGUGUCUCUAAAGUGCUCAACUUAGGAAGUUGCCUACUGCUUCCUUCGCUAAAAGAAAAUGGCUAGUCAAUUUUGCCAAUAUCACAAGGAAUAAAGGUCCAUUCAAAUUCAACAUAUAACCUAUGCAACACGGACUAUAUAGGUUAUUUGUUGAAAUUUACUUAUAAAGAAAAUAUUUUUUUUAAAAAAGGAGGAUUUCCCCCGACCUCUACAUCAAAAUGAUGCAUGCAGCCAUAUUAUUAAUCAAAGUAGCCACCAAGUAUGUAGUAUGAUACAAGAACUAAAAAUGAGUUAAAAAGAGACGAACAAAGCCACAUCCGGCAAAAAUAGGACUAGAUGAUUAUACAUAUAUUCUAUUGUUAGACCACCAUUCAAACCGGUUGUAAGUAUCCCGUGCUACCGUAUCUUAACGGUUGCACCCAUAAGCCAUAUGAUCCUUGACUUCCGCACGACUGAGUAAUGACCACGUACAAAUCCAUCUAGUUGCUCUAUAGAUGACCUGCAAAAAAAUGUUUUGUCUGUUAAAAAUCACGUCAUCUGACAGUUCCAUAUGGCCCAAAGUAAUGCGUACACUCCUACUCAAAUAUGCGCAGCUAAUUUAGGCUCUACCCCGUUUAGGCAAGUCCCAAAUAAAGUGGCUAAGGUAUUAGGAGGACUGUCACGAAGGCCCACAUGCAUGUUGGAUGAUUCAUCUCAAUCACACAACACCGUUUACUAUCCUCCCAACUACGUUUUGCCAAGUUAUCCUUAGUCAAGAUCACUUCCUUGCGAACAAACCACAUAAAAACUUUUGUCUUUAAAGGCACCUUGAUUUUCCAAAUGUGAAGCGACUUUGGGAUUGGACUAGUAUUUAUGAAAUAUAUACACAUAGACUUCACUGAGAAUACCCCUGACAUAGAAAGUUUCCGUUGUAGUGUAUCUGGCUCAUCAGAAAGGCUAGCAUCCAUCAACCUGCGCAUGAGAUGUAGCCAUUUAUCCCAUCGCUUCCCCAUGAGGGAUCUUCUGAACUAAAUGUUUAAGGGAACCGAUCCUAGAAUUGUACUUAUGAAUGCCUCCUUACACUGUACAGUAUUGUAAAGGGUUGGAUAUUGUAUGGCCAGGGGCGUUUUCCCUAACCAUGUAUCUUUCCAAAACCUAGUUUUAUUACCGUCCCCAAUAAUGAAUUUGUUCCUAUUAAAAAAGACAACCUUUGUCCGCAUCAACCUAUUCCAAAAAGGCGCAUCGUCCAACUACGUAGUAACUUGUGCAAGGGUCUUGGAGUGCAAAUACUUGUUAUGCAAUAAUUGUAUCCGCACACCCUCGUCCUCUAUAGUCUAUAUAACCAUUUAAUAAGUAGGAACCUGUUCUUUACCUCAAGGUUUUCGAUCCCUAACCCCCCUUGGUCCUUCAACCUACAAAUUAUAUCCCACUUUGCCAACUUGUAUUUUGAUUUGCUUUGUCAGAAAAAACGUGAUCGAUAGAAGUCCAAACUUUUUCGUACCCCCAUAGGUACUUCAAAGAAGGACAAUACGAACAUCGACAUUACUUGUAAGCAUGAAGUUUAUCAGAAUUACUCGACUCCCAUAAGACAUAAGCUUGCCCUUCCAGCAGCUUAGUUUCUUCUCAAAUCAAUCCCCUAUGAACUUCCUUUCUUUGUUGGUUAGUUUACGUUGAUGAUUGGUAUUCCCAAAUACCUAAAUGGGAGAAACCCCAACUCACAGAAAUUGUCUACAGUUCUCCUAAUCUUCCUUAGCGCACCCAAAACAAAAUAGUUCACUCUUGUUGAAAUUAAUUUUCAAACCAGACAGUUGUUCGAAGAGACACAAAACCAAUUUCAUAUUCCUAGCCUUUGUCAAAUCACGUUCCAUGAAAAUAAUAGUGUGGCGUACUGUAGAAUGGAAACCCCACCAUCCACAAGAUGAGGGGUAAGCCCACCCACCCGACCAUCCUCUCUUGCUCGACCAAUGAGAAGCACAAGUAUAUCGGUCACGGUAUUAAAUAGGAUAGAAAACAUCGAAUCCCCCUAUCUCAAUCCCUUCUUUGUGUGGAAGAAUGACCUAUGUCAUCAUUAACCUUUAACCCAACGCUGCUCAUUGUGCAAAAGAUUCUACCUGCUUCCUUCAGGCCGCAUAAAAACCCUUCAUAUGCAAGGUCUGUUGCAAAAAUGGCCAUUUAACUUUAUCGUACGCCUUCUUGAAGUCCACUUUGAAGACAACUCCAUCUAGUUUCUUCAAGUGAAUUUCGUGCAAGGUUUCAUGAAGAACGACCACACCCUCCAGGAUAUGUAAUUUCCUCAUGAAAGCCGUAUGAGUCGGCUGCACCAUAGUAUGUGCAAUAUGUGUGAGUCGAUUAAUUUCAACUUUUGUAAAUAACUUAAAGCUCACAUUAAGCAGACAAGUUGGUCUUAACUGCUCAAUGUGAACUGCCUCCUCCUUCUUUGGCAACAACGUAAUAGUUCCAUAGUUAAUGUGGAACAGUUGUAGCUGGCCAUUAAACAAAUCAUGGAACAUUUGCAAAAGAUCACCUUUAAUGAUAUCCUAAUGAUAACCCACAAGUGUAGGGGAUCGCAACAGCUUUUGAGGGUAGAGUAUUCAACCCAAAUUUAUUGAUUCGACACAAGGGGAGCCAAAGAAUAUUCUUAAGUAUUAGCAAAUGAGUUGUCAAUUCAACCACACCUGGAUAACUUAGUAUCUGCAACAAGAUAUUUAGUAGCAAAGUAGUAUGAUAGUAAUGGUAACAGUGGUAAAGGUAAAGAUAGUAAUGAUAGCAGUAUUAUAGUGAUUGUAAUAGUAGCAACGGAAAAGUAAAUAAGCGAAGCACAAUAUAUGAAAAACUCGUAGGCAUUGGAUCAGUGAUGGAUAAUUAUGUCGGAUGCGAUUCCUCAUGUAAUAGCUAUAACAUAGGGUGACACAGAACUAGCUCCAAUUCAUCAAUGUAAUGUAGGCAUGUAUUCCGAAUAUAGUCAUACGUGCUUAUGGAAAAGAACUCGCAUGACAUCUUUUGUCCUACCCUCCCGUGGCAGCGGGGUCCUAAUGGAAACUAAGGGAUAUUAAGGCCUCCUUUUAAUAUAGAACCAAACCAAAGCAUUAGCACUUGGUGAAUACAUGAACUCCUCAAACUAUGGUCAUCACCGAGAAGUAUCCCAAUUAUUGUCACUUCGGGGUUGUGGGAUCAUAACCCAUAAUAGGUGACUAUAGACUUGCAAGAUAGGAUCAAGAACUCACAUAUAUUCAUGAAAACAUAAUAGGUUCAGAUCUGAAAUCAUGGCACUCAGGCCCUAGUGACAAGCACUAAGCAUAGCAAAGUCAUAGCAACAUCAAUCUCAGAACAUAGUGGAUACUAGGGAUCAAACCCUAACAAAACUAACUCGAUUACAUGGUAAAUCUCAUCCAACCCAUCACCGUCUAGCAAGCCUAUGAUGGAAUUACUCACGCACGGCGGUGAGCAUCAUGAAAUUGGUGAUGGAGGAUGGUUGAUGAUGACGAUGGCGAUGAAUCCCCCUCUCUAGAGCCCCGAACGGACUCCAAAUCAGCCCUCCCAAGAGGUUUUAGGGCUUGGCGGCGGCUCCGUAUUGUAAAACAUGAUGAAACUUUCUCUCUGAUUUUUUUUCUUUGCGAAACGGAAUAUAUGGAGUUGGAGUUGAGGUCGGUGGAGCAGCAGGGGGCCCAUGAGACAGGGGGGCGCGCCCUAUAGGGGGGGAGGGGGCGCCCCCCACCCUCGUGGACAGGGUGUGGCCCCCUGGCCUUCAUCUUUUGCUAGUAUUUUUUAUAUUUUCUGAAACUUAUCUUCGAGGAUUUUGAAGUCAUUCCGAGAACUUUUGUUUCUGCACAAAAAUAACACCACGGCAGUUCUGUUGAAAAUACCGUUAGUCCGGGUUAGUUUCAUUCAAAUCAUGCAAGUUAGAGUCCAAAACAAGGGCAAAAGCGUUUGGAAAAGUAGAUACGUUGGAGACGUAUCAACUCCCCCAAGCUUAAACCUUUGCUUGUCCUCAAGCAAUUCAGUUGACAAACUGAAAGUGAUAAAGAAAAACUUUUACAAACUCUGCUUGCUCUUGUUGUUGUAAAUAUGUAAAGCCAGCACUCAAGGUUUCAACAAAGAUUAUGAACUAACCAUAUUCGCAAUAACACUCAGGUCUCAUGUUUACUCAUAUCAAUGGCAUAAUCAACUAGCGAGCUAUAAUAAUAAAACUCGGAUGACAACACUUUCUCAAAACAAUCAUAAUAUGGUAUAACAAAAUGGUAUCUCGCUAGCCCUUUCUGAGACCGCAAAACAUAAAUGCAGAGCACCUUUAAAGAUCAAGGACUGACUAAACAUUGUAAUUCAUGGUAAAAGAGAUCUAGUCAAGUCAUACCCAAUAUAAACUAAUAGGAAUGCAUAUAAAUGACAGUGUGCUCUCCAGCGGGUGCUUUUUAAUAAGAAGGUGAUGGCUCAACAUAAAAGUAAAUAGAUAGGCCCUUCGCAGAGGGAAGCAGGGAUUCGUAGAGGUGCCAGAGCUCGAUUUUAAAAUAGAGAUUGAAUAACAUUUUGGGCGGCAUACUUUCACUGUCAACGCAGCAACUAUGAGAUGGCGAUAUCUUCCAUACUACAUGCAUUAUAGGCAGUUCCCAAUUAGAAUGGUAAACGUUUAUACUCCCCCACAACCAACAAGCAUCAAUCCAUGGCUUGCUCGAAACAACGAGUGCCUCCAACUAACAACAACCCUGGAGUUUUGUUUAAUUAUAUUGAUUUGCUUUGAUCUUUUUGGAUCAUGGGACUGGGCAUCCCGGUUACCGACCCUUUCUUGUGAAUGAGGAGCGGAGUCCACUCCUCUUAAGAAUAGCCCACCUAGCAUGGAAGAUACAUGCAGCCCUAGUUGAAACAUGAGCUGCUCGAGCAUACAAAACAGAAUUUCAUUUGAAGGUUUGGAGUUUGGCACAGACAAAUUUACUUGGAACGGUAGGUAGAUACCGCAUAUUGGAAGGUAUGGUGGACUCAUGUGGAAUAACUUUGGGGUUUAUGGAGUUUGGAUGCAUAAGCAGUAUUCCCGCUUAGUACAGGUGGAGGCUAGCAAAAGACUGGGAAGCGACCAACUGAGAGAGCGACAACAGUCAUGAACAUGCACUAAAAUUAAUUUACACUAAGUGCAAGCAUGAGUAGGAUAUAAUCCACCAUGAACAUAAAUAUCGUGAAGGCUAUGUUGAUUUUGUUUCAACUACAUGCGUGAACAUGUGCCAAGUCGAGUCACUCAAUUCAUUCAAAGGAGGAUACCAUCUCAUCAUACCACAUCACAAUCAUUUUAAUAGCAUGUUGGCACGCAAGGUAAACCAUUAUAACUCAUAGCUAAUUAAGCAUGACAUAAGCAACUAUAAUCUCUAAAUGUCAUUGCAAACAUGUCUACUUCAUAAUAAGCUGAAUCAGGAACGAUGAACUCAUCAUAUUUACAAAAACAAAAGAGGUCGAGUUCAUACCAGCUUCUCUCAUCUCAAUCAGUCCAUUAUAUAUCGUCAUCAUUGCCUUUCACUUACACGAUCGAACGAUGUGUAUGAUAAUAAGAGUGUACAUGCAUUGGACUAAGCUAGAAUCUGCAAGCAUUCAUUUCAAGAGAGAAGACAAGGUAAUAUGGGCUCUAAAUUAAAUCCACAAUCAUGCAUAAGAGAGCCACUAAACAUUUUCAAUAUGGUCUUCUACUCUCAGCCCCCAAAGAAAGGAAAAAGAAAUAAAACUAUUUACACGGGAAAGCUCCCAACAAGUAAAAGAAGAACGAGAAAUCUUUGUGGUUUUUUUAAUUACUUCUACUACAAGCAUGAAAAUUAAACUAACUAUUUUUUGGGGUUUUUUAUAAGGUUUAUCAAACACACAAGAAGAAAACUAGAAAAAGAAUUUAAACUAGCAUGGAUAUAGUACAAUGAAAGAGUAUGGGCACCGACGACUAGAAUAGUGUGUAAACAUGAACGUAAAGUCGAUGGGAAAUAUGUACUCCCCCAAGCUUAGGCUUUUGGCCUAAGUUGGUUUAUGGCCAUGGAUAGCCUGACUGAUAUCCAUAGUUGUAACUGGGGUCGUACUGAGAUGCAGCAGUCAUUGCCUCCUCAGCUGCUGGCUGACGGCGGGCUGCUUCCGCCCUCCUCUCGUGUUCAUUUGCCCCCUCCCUAGUGACAAGAUAUAUUUGUUUUUGUAACAUCCCAAAAUUCUAAAAUUUGGAAUGUUAUAUUAAAUAGAUAGUUUGAUUGUUGGUUUGAUUGAUUGAGUGAAAUUUGAAACUUUUGAAAGUUAAAUGAGAGGGAAUAAAAGGACUUUCCCAAACUUUCACCUUUGCUUUCUGAUCUCCAUCGAUUAAAAUACUUUUCAAACACAAAACCCUGGAGUGAAGAUAAUAUGACUUCUUCCAUUUAAAUAAAUGAAAACGGGUUUUGAAAAGAUUUGAAUUUCAUUUGGAAAUAUUUUCAAAUUUAGAAACUUCAAGCAACUCAAUGAUUUUCAUGAUAGAAGAUAAAAUGACUUCUUCAAAACAUAUGAAAUAUGAGUUGGGAGUUUAAAACAAAUCCAAUUUAAAGCCCCGUUAAAAAUUAUUUUCAAUUAGGCCUUAUUUGGGUUUUAUUCAAAUUAUUUUUCUCCAAAAUAAAAUAUUUGGAAAAUAGGGUAACAUGAUUCCCUACAUCAGAAAAUUGGAGAGAAAUAAAUUUGAAAUCAUUUUGGUAUUUUUAAAAUGAUUUUUAUUGGAUUUUAUUGGACAAGUAGCACUCUUUGUUUUAUUUGAAUUAUUCUGGAUUUUAUUUGAAGUUAGAUUAAUGUUCAGCUUGUAGAAAAUGUUUUCCUGAAAAUUUGGAUAUACAAUAUGCUAUAGUAUAUGUUAGUUUAUUUGGUUUUUUCUGUAAAAAUAAAUGUUUUUUUUAAAACCUCUCCUCCGCCGCCGACUGGGCCGGCCCAGCCCCUGCCAGGCCACGGCCCAGCCCAGCUGCCAUCGUCACCGACCCCAGGAUGGAGUCCGCCCUGGGCACGCCACCGCUCGCCGCCGUACUCCGCCCGGAGUCCCCUUGUCGCCGUGCCCCCUCCUCCACGCCUCCCGAGGCCGUUUCCCCCCUCCAUAAAUAGCGCCGCCCCCUCUCUCUCACUCCUCCUCGCAUGGCGCCACCGUCCCCGCAUCUCACCGCCGCCGCCGCCGCCGGAGGCCGCAACCGCCGCCCUCGUCACCGUCAACCGCCGCCGACGCCACCCCCGCAACCGCCGCUCCACGCCGCCCCUCCCCGUGCCCUUCGCCGCCCUCCUGGACGAUCGGAGCCGCCCCCCCGGCCGGACCCGAGCCGCCGUCGCCGUUCCGGCUCGCCUUUGACCUCCACCGCCGCGGUGAGCCACCAGAAUCCCCUCGUCCGUCCGAUCGUAGAUCUAGGGCUAGAUUAGAUCGGUUAGUUUUUUUAGUUUUUUAUUUAUUCCGAACCGUUAUCCCUUAGUUAGAGGACGUUCGCUGUUUAGUCUAUGCAGCGAACAGUUUUCAGCCACUAACAAUCUGACACGUAGCUAGGGACUUUGUUGCAGUUAUUUUAUUUAGAGAUUAGCCCCUAGACUUCAAACCGUCACAUAUUUUACACCGUUUAUCCAAAUCCAACAAAACCAACACCCACUUCUUCAUUACGAUCCCCUCUAUCCAUUAAAACAACUUAAUCAUCUUUUGAGAGUUUUAAAAUUUCAAUUCAAACAUUUUAGUAUUUGAACUUCGUUUGAUCGUAACUCGAGUUCUAUAACUCAGUUUUAGUUGAUUCUCUUUGCAAAUUAAAGCUCUUGACGUAAACUUUCUGAUAAGGCCAAAUUCACUCAAUUUUGUUACUGUUAGAAAUUGUCUACUGUUGCAAGAGUUAUUUGCUUGGUUUCGAAGUUUUCCAAAUUGCUUUCUUUGUUCUUUCCGAUCUUUUGAGUGAUUGCUUAUGUGUGGUUACUAUUGUUUGCUUACAAUAGGUUGAACAGAGUGUGAUGAAUAGAACUAUCAGGAGUUGAGUGUGAAUCAUCUUCAUCAACAGUACAAGCAAGUUCACAGUUUGAUCAUAUCCCUUUCAUACCCAGUUUUUAUGCAUUAGUUUCACCCUCAAACAUUGCAUGGUUAGGAAUUGAUAACAUGUGGGUAUUGGGGAGUAGUUGAUGAGGUAGGAACCUAUUGCCCUGUUACUAUCAAACCCUUGGGAGUUACUUCUACGUUAUGCUUAUACUACAAUGCUAUGCUCGUAGACAUGGUUUGGCUUUGAGUGUUUUCCAUGACAUAUGUGAGAUUAUUACUUAAUGGUUCAACUGAAGGUGGCUACUUAAAUACACAUCUGGGUGGAUUGAGGCACUUGGAUAUUCCAGUGAUUGCCUGUUUUUUUAUGGACCGCCACCCAGGCUUAAAGGGAUCAUAAGAUUAUUCAUGCUAGAAACUUUCGUGUGCAGCCACAAGCUACUAUGGGCUCUAGCAUAGUUGAUUAAGUCGGGUGAACUCUUAUAGUGGUAGACUAGCAGAUGUAGGGGAAAGUAGGUGUAAUGGUCUACCCAUCGUAAGGUGUAAACGCUUCUGAAAGACUAUGUCUCGGUCAUCCAUUUCUCAAACACCAUGUAGUGCAAGAAAACUAACGGAGGAGAUCGAGUCUUGUGGGGAAAAGUGUGCAAACCUCUGCAGAGUGUACAAACUAAUCAUGAUUAGCCGUGUCCCCGGUUAUGGACAUCUUGAGUAUCUGGCUCUUGGAUUAUCAUGUUGAUCUCAUCAGGUUACUUAAUAUAAUUUGUUGGGUUGUUAAUGAUUACUUUUAAUUGGGAUUGAGAGGGGGUUUACCUUCUCAAUGUUUUCAAACAACUGUGUAGUUAAAUAAAAUUUUAUUCCUUUGCAGUUGGGAAAAAUUGGCUUUUCGCAUAAACAUUAGAACCAUAGAGCUUUUCCACCAGCCAUAUAUGCAUGUAGAGAUAGCUUUUAUUCAUCAUUCAUCCUAUGGUGUGAAUUUGCCAGUACAUUCAAUGUACAGACCUACAUGGCUGGAACGUCUCAUGUUGCAGGGUUUCUUACGACGAGUAAGUGAUACGUUAGGGUUACGAUUUCUACACUCAGCUUUGCCGUUGGUGUUGACGGGAAUUCACAACCUUGUUGUUACUUCCGCUAUUUGGAUUGAGGUAAUUGUAUUUACGUUCUUUAUACAUGUGAUUUACCUCUGUUAUAAAUCCUCGAGUACUGUGUGUGUUAGCAUACCGAUCCAGGGAUGACACUUAAGCACAGAGACUUGAUCCAUUCGGGUCGGGUUGCUACAAGAUGGUACCAGAGCACAUGUUGACUGUAGGACGUGACCCUAGAGACUGGCAAUCCCCUAGGAAAGAUUUUCCCUACUACUUUAUUUUCAAAAAGAUCUUUUACUUCUCUUCUCUUCUGAGCUUGUUCAAAUAUUCCCUUUUAGUUAGACCAUACCCUUUCCCCUUUUGACCACAUGAAGAUUCGGCUGAUGAGACCACUCCAAGGAGUACAAGAUAUCGAGCAACUAAGACUACUUUGGAAUGAAGAGGAUUUUACCGUGUACUAUUAUAAUGGAAACUACAACAGUUGAAGACAUUGAAGACUGGAGAAUUUGAAAGCUUUGAAGAUUUUCCAGAUUUGUACGACCUAGGAAGGUUACCUUAUAGAACUUGGCAGACUAAGGAAGUUGUCAAUAUCCGAGAUCAAGGUAUAUCGGAGAAAGACCAGAACAUGGAGCUUUAGAACUCAAAGUUUUUGUUAAGAAAAACCCUAAGACAGGAGGUAUCAAUUAUGGAAUGAAAGCUCAUGGCAGUAACAUGGGCAUAGGCACGGAUUACCAUGGUGUUAUCGCCUGCUUAUGCUAUUGUCACCAUGCUGAGUUAAGCAUGCAUUUCUUCGGAAGGAUUGGAUGGUAGAAGGCUGAUGGAGCAUCUGUCAGCAAAGGAUGCAGUUUUAACGUAGAUGGUGUAUCACCAGGAUCUAGAGAAUUACAUCAGGAGUUUUAAGAUGGAUCUUCAAGAAGCCGUAUUUGACAAGGAAGUAGUUCGUGAAGAACCCAGGAACCAGAAGCUGAAAGUAGCCAAGCUGGAGGAGCUAAACCUCAAGAUACCAGAGAUUCGUCAGGAGCUGAAGGAUAGAAGGACAUGGUUCAUGCCAAGGAUGUUGAAACCCAGAAGUUUGGAACGCAACUCCAGAAAUAUUAAAGGACGUCAUGAGAGACUUCGCGUCAACAAAGAUGAUCUGGCAAAAGAACUUGAUAAGGACAAGCACGAUCGGAAGAAGCCAUCGGAGACAUGAACAGGACUGGAAGAGUUUGGUGACGUUGAAGAUUUAUUGACCACUAGAAGACCAAACCCCAUUAUACCUACGUUAGAUGCGAUGUUUGUGAGCUGUCUUUUGUUUGUUGUUUUUCCGACAGCCACAAAAUAAAAUGCCCUUUUCAAAUAUAUUUGUUUGUAUCCCUCUCUAUCUAUCUUAUCUCACCCCAAAACUCCUAGACCCAAUAGAGGAUGAAUGGAGAUAAGAUCAUAUUAUCUGGACCGAUGAGUCAAUUGGAGACGGACUGAUGGAUUCAGAACAUGGAGGAUCACAUGAAGAACAACCCUAUAGCCAGAAAGGAUAUGGCCCAACAUGCUUUUCAAUGCUUUGAAAGAGGUGCUGCUACUUGGUGGACGAUAUACCAAACCAUCAAUGGAUGGCAAGGAGUAACCACUUAGGAAGAAUUUAAGUUGACUUUGCCAGAGUCUCAGUUUAUGUCCCAGAGAUUGGAGCCCCAUGGAAAUGAUAUGAAGAAAUCGUGUGCUUGCAAGCUCUAUGGAGAAAUAGGACACGACCAUAAAGAACACCAGGAUGAAUGCCCUAAUGGUGAAGGAAGUCACCCAGCUGAAGAAUACCCAACUAGGCAGAUUACUUGUUUCUUGUGUGAAGGAACUACCCACUACCCUGCUUAGUGUCACAUUUACCACAUGGUACAAAGAACCAUCCAGCAGAAGAAAGAAGCAAUGAAAGGAGCCCUCAUGGAAAUUUUAGGAGACCAAGUAAUGAAGGAAGAGGUGGAGGACACACCCGAAGAAAACCCAAUGAAACCCUGCGCCAAGUCUUGCUAUUCAUGUGGAGAAGGACACAUCCCCCAAAAAUGUCUGAAUGGGGAUCUAAUAGAAUUCCCGACAGAGGAAUUAGAGUAUGACCCACAGGAAAUAGAAGCCCUGAUUGGAACGGAAAAGUCCAGGAAGAGAAAUAGAUUGGAUUCCAGGAAGGACCUGAGCCAUAUCACCUGUUUCAGGUGCAAGGAGUCAGGGCACUACUUCAGCUGUUGCCCAAAAAGGAAGCCUAGGACCCAAGGAGGCUAUGUAAUCACAAGGAAACUUCGAGACUUGUCAGAAGUGGUAUGUUACCGUUGUAAUGAAGUAGGGAACUUUGCCAGAGAUUGUCCCAAAGAGAAGGAGACUUGUGCUAAAUAGUUGAGUUAGCAACGAAAGAAAUAUAGUGGUAGUAGUGGGAACAGUUCUUUUACAUUGAGGCGACGAGUUGAGGCAUGUACUGGAAAAUCAAGUGAUUGUAAUCAUUGGAGAAUCCAUAAAGUUAGCAUCAUUGGUAAAGAUUUGGAUUUUAUGAGCAGUGACUGUAUGAAGGAAGAUUUUGACUAUUUUCGAGGAUAUGAGAAAUAUGGUCUAUGGAUAAAUUUGUGCAUUUCAAGGGUGGUAGUAAUUGUGAGAACCCUUGACCCCGGUAAAGAAAGUGAUAUUCCACGAUGUGGACUUCAGACAAAAUAAGUACGAGUUUUGUCGCAAUAUGUGGGAUAUCCCAAGAGUAAGAAGGGAUGAAGUACUAUUGGAUAUGGAGGUAUAAUGUUGGUAGUAUGGAGCAAGUGUAACUCCAUGAUGAGUUUGAGUAAUCAGUCAUAGUGUGAUACCAAUAGAAGGAAGGAAGGAAGACAGUACAAUUGGAUGGAUUUAAGAAUACUAGGAAGUUGGAUGUUGGGAUAAUGAUCCGUUGCCCCAAGAAUGAGUUCAAGGUUUGCAAGUGAUGAGAUGGGCCAUAACCCACAGGCCCCAGGACCUACCAAGAAUCAAGCACACUCUUGCUAAAGGAAAAACCCUAGAAGAAGGUAUGCCUUUACCAACAGACGAUCUUAUAGGAGUUUACGCAAAACCUGAGAGUUGUAAAAGGAACGAUAGAUGUUGGUUUGGCUCGCAGAAUCAAUGGAAUUAUCUGAACUUGGUUCAUCGACAAGAGAAAUUGUACAAUGCUUGUGAGGAUGACCGAGUGUUAGAAUGCGAGAUUCGCUAAACCGUAUACAAGGUAAUGAUUUGGGUGCGGGAUGGAUUGAUCACCAUACCGACUUACUCUUAUUAUUCGCUUUGCUAUCUGGGAUGGUAAAUCUGAGUGACUUACCUAUAGUAGAGAGAUGACGAUCAAAACAUUGUUUAAACCUUAGAAUGGUAUGACGUUUUUCCCUUGUACAAGGCAGUUGUUGCCAAUCGUAGGAUAUACUAUGAGGUUCAACCCAGACCCGUUUUCUGCAGGAGAAACCAUAAAUGGUUGACCACCAUGAGAUAUCGAUAGUUGUUUAGUAUUGGCGCCAGACCCGUUAGCUAAGAAGACCCAGUCUCGGAAUAACCGUACCAAUAUGAAAAGGAUACAAGGAUUGAGGAAAAAGGUUAUGCCAUUACCGGAAGAGCCACAGAAGGAAUUAUACUGAAGAUCUGAGAAGACUGACACUGUCAGGAAUAAGCAUGGAGUAUAUGAGUUCUGAUGGAACAAUGACAAUGCUUUUAAGGGUGGUAGCACCCCAGACCCCCUGAGAUGAUCGAUGGAUUUUGAGAAGACCCCAAACCUAACCUAUUUCUUUCUAGCCUCUCCGAAUCUCGAGGACGAGAUUCAUUUUAAGGGUGGUAGGUUUGUAACAUCCCAAAAUUCUAAAUUUUGGAAUGUUAUAUUAAAUAGAUAGUUUGAUUGUUGGUUUGAUUGAUUGAGUGAAAUUUGAAACUUUUGAAAGUUAAAUGACAGGGAAUAAAAGGACUUUCCCAAUCUUUCACCUUUGCUUUCUGAUCUCCAUCGAUUCAAAUACUUUUCAAACACAAAACCCUGGAGUGAAGAUAAUAUGACUUCUUCCAUCUAAAUAAAUGAAAAAGGGUUUUGAAAAGAUUUGAAUUUCAUUUGGGAAUAUUUUCAAAUUCAAAAACUUCAAGCAACUCAAUGAUUUUCAUGAUAGAAGAGAAAAUGACUUAUUCAAAACCCAUGAAAUAUGAGUUGGGAGUUUAAAAGAAAUCCAAUUUAAAGCCCCGUUGAAAAUUAUUUCCAAUUCGGCCUUAUUUGGGUUUUAUUCAAAUUAUUUUUCUCCAAAAAUAAAAUAUUUGGAAAAUAGGGUAACAUGAUUCCCUACAUCAGCAAAUUGGAAAGAAAUAAAUUUGAAAUCAUUUUGGUAUUUUAAAAAUGAUUUUUAUUGGACAAGUAGCACUCUUUGUUUUAUUUGAAUUAUUGUGGAUUUUAUUUGAAGUUAGAUUAAUGUUCAGGUUGUAGAAAAUGUUUUUCUGGAAAUUUGGAUAUAUAAUAUGCCUAUAGUAUAUUUUAGUUUAUUUGGUUUUUUUUCUGUAGAAAUAAAUGUUUUUUUUAAAACCUCUCCUCCGCCGCCGACUAGGCCGGCCCAGCCCCUGCCACGCCGCGGUCCAGCCCAGCUGCCAUCGUCACCGACCCCAGGACGGAGUCCGCCCUGGGCACGCCACCGCUCGCCGCCGUACUCCGCCCGGAGUCCCCUCGUUGUCGUGCCCCCUCCUCCACGCCUCCCGAGGACGUUUCCCCCCUCCAUAAAUAGCGUCCCCCCUCUCUCUCUCUCCUUCUCGGAUGGCGCCGCCGUCCCCGCAUCUCACCGCCGCCGCCGCCGGAGGCCGCAGCCGCCGCCCUCGUCGCCGUCGACCGCCGCUGACGCCACCCCCGCAACCACCGCUCCACGCCGCCCCUCCCCGUGCCCUUCGCCGCCCUCCUCGACGACCGAAGCCGCCGCCCCGGCCAGACCUGAGCCGCCACCGCCGUUCCGGCUCGCCGUUGACCUCCACCGCCGCGGUGAGCCACCGGAAUCCCCUCAUCCUUCCGAUCGUAGAUCUAGGGCUAGAUUAGAUCGAUUAGUUUUUUUUACUUUUUAUUUAUUUCGAACCGUUAUCCCUUAGUUAGAGGAUGUUCGCUGUUUAGUCUAUGCAGCGAACAGUUUUCAGCCACUAACAAUCUGACACCUAGCUAGGGACCUAGUUGCAGUUAUUUUAUUUACAGAUUAGCCCCUGGACUUCAAAUCCUCACAUAUUUUACACCGUUUAUCCAAAUCCAACGAAACCAACACCCAAUUCUUCAUUACGAUCCCCUCUAUCCAUUAAAACAACUUAAUCAUCUUUUUGAAAGUUUUAAAAUUUGAAUUCAAACAGUUUAGUAUUUGAACUUCCUUUGAUCGUAACUCGAGUUCUAUAACUCCGUUUUAGUUGAUUCUUUUUGCAAAUUAAAGCUCUUGACCUAAACUUUCCGAUAAGGCCAAAUUCACUCAAUUUUGGUAAGAAAUGUAUACUGUUGCAAGAGUUAUUUGCUUGGUUUUGAAGUUUUCCGAAUUGCUUUCUUUGUUCUUUCCUAUCUUUUUAGUGAUUGCUUAUGUGUGGUUACUAUUGUUUGCUUACGAUAGAUUGAACAGAGUGUGACGAAUAGAACUAUCAGGAGUUGAGUGUGAAUCAUCUUCAUCAAUAGUACAUGCAAGUUCACACUUUGAUCAUAUCCCUUUCAUACCCAAUUUUUAUGCAUUAGUUUCACCCUCAAACAUUGCAUGGUUAGGAAUUGAUAACAUGUGGGUAUUGGGGAGUAGUUGAUGAGGUAGGAACCUAUUACCCUGUUACUAUCAAACCCUUGGGAGUUACUUCUACGUUAUGCUUAUACUGCAAUGCUAUGCUCGUAGACGUGGUUUGGGUUUGAGUGUUUUCCAUGACAGAUGUGAGAUUGUUACUUAAUGGUUCAACUUAAGGUGGCUACUUAAAUACACGUCUAGGUGGAUUGAGGCACCUGGGUAUUCCAGCGAUUGCCUGUUUUUUAUGAACCGCCACCCAGGCUCAAAGGGAUCAUAAGAUUAUUCAUGCUAGAAACUUCUGAGUGCAGCCACAAGCUACUAUGGGCUCUAGCAUAGUUGAUUAAGUCGGGUGAACUCUUACAGUGGUAGACUAGUAGAUGUAGGGGAAAGUAGGUGUAACGGUCUGCCCAUCGUUAGGUGUAAACGCUUCUGAAAGACUAUGUCUCGGUCAUCCGUUUCUCAAACACCAUGUAGUGCGAGAAAACCAACGAAGGAGAUCGAGUCUUGUGGGGAAAAGUGCGCAAACCUCUACAGAGGGUACAAACUAAUCAUGAUUAGCCGUGUCCCCAGUUAUGGACAUCUUGAGUAUCUGGUUCUUGGAUUAUCAUGUUGAUCUCAUCAUGUUACUUAAUAUAAUUUGUUGGGUUGUUAAUGAUUACUUUUAAUUGGGAUUGAGAGGGGGUUUACCUUCUCAAUGUUUUCAAACAACUGUGUAGUUAAAUAAAAUUGUAUUCCUUUGCAGUAGGGAAAAAUUGGCUUUUCGCAAAAACAUUAUAACCAUAGAGCUUUUCCACCUGCCAUAUAUGCAUGUAGAGAUAGCUUUUAUUCAUCAUUCAUCCUAUGGUGUGAAUUUGCCAGUACAUUCAAUGUACUGACCUACAUGGCUGCAACGUCUCAUGUUGCAGGAUUUCUUACGACGAGCGAUUUCUACACUCAACUUUGCCGUUGGUGUUGAUGGGAAUCCACAACCUUGUUGUUACUUCCGCUAUUUGGUUUGACGUAAUUGUAUUUACGUUCUUUAUACAUGUGAUUUGCGUCUGUUAUAAAUCCUCGAGUACUGUGUGUGUCAGCAUACCGAUUCAGGGAUGACACUUAAGCAUAGAGACUUGAUCCAUUCGAGUCGGGUCGCUACAAGAUGGUACUAGAGCACAUGUUGACUGUAGGACGUGACCCUAGAGACUGGCAAGCCCCUAGGAAAGAUUUUCCCUACUACUUUAUUUUCAAAAAGAUCUUUUACUUCUCUUCUCUUUUGAGCUGAUUCAAAUAUUCCCUUUUAGUUAGACCAUACCCUUUCCCCUUUUGACCACAUGAAGAUUCGGCUGAUGAGACCACUCCAAGGAGUACAAGAUAUCGAGCAACUAAGACUACUUUGGAAUGAAGAGGAUUUUACCGUGUACUAUUAUAAUGGAAACUACAAUGGUUGAAGACAUCGAAGACUCGAGAAUUUGAAAGCUUUGAAGAUUUUCCAGAUUUGUAUGACCUAGGAAGGCUACCUUAUAGAACUUGGUAGUCUAAGGAAGUUGUCAAUAUCUGAGAUCAAGGUAUAUCGGAGAAAGACCGGAACAUGGAGCUUUAGAACUCAAAGUUUUUGUUAAGAAAAACCCUAAGAUAGGAGGUAUCAAUUAUGGAAUGAAAGCUCAUGGCAGUAACAUGGGCAUAGGCACGGAUUACCAUGGUGUUAUCACCCGCUUAUGAUAUUGUCACCAUGCUGAGUUAAGCAUGUAUUUCUUCGGAAGGAUUGCAUGGUAGAAAGCUGAUGGAGCAUCUGUCAGCAAAGGAUGCAUUUUUAACGUAGCUGGUGUAUUACCAGGAUCUGGAGAAUUACAUCAGGAGUUUUAAGAUGGAUCUUCUGGAAGCCGUAUUUGACAAGGAAGCAGUUUGUGAAGAACCCAGGAACCAGAAGCUGAAAGUAGCCAAGCUGGAGGAGCUAAACCUCGAGAUACCAGAGGUUCGUCAGGAGCUGAAGGAUAGAAGGACAUGGUUCAUGCCAAGGAUGUUGAAACCCAGAAGUUUGGAACGCAACUCUAGAAAUAUUAAAGGACGUCAUGAGAGACUUCGCGUCAACAGAGAUGAUCUGGCAAAAGAACUUGAUAAGGACAAGCACGAUCGGAAGAAGCCAUCGGAGACAUGAACAAGACUGGAAGAGUUUGGUGACGUUGAAGAUUUAUAUACCACUAGAAGACCAAACCCCAUUAUUCCUACGUUAGAGGUGAUGUUUGUGAGUUGUCUUUUGUUUGUUGUUUUUCCGACAGCCACAAAAUAAAAUGCCCUUUUCAAAUAUAUUUGUUUGUAUCCCUCUCUAUGUCUCUUAUCUCACCCCAAAACCCCUAGACCCAAUAGAGGAUGAAUGGAGAUGAGAUCAUAUUAUCUGGAUCGAUGAGUCAAUUGGAGAGGGACCGAUGGAUUCAAAACAUGGAGGAUCACAUGAAGAACAACCCUAUAGCCGGAAAGGAUAUGGCCCAACAUGCUCUUCAAUGCUUUGAAAGAGGUGCUGCUACUUGGUGGACGAUAUACCAAACCAUCAAUGGAUGGCAAGGAGUAACCACUUAGGAAAAAUUUAAGUUGACUUUGCCAAAGUCUCGGUUUAUGUCCCAGAGAUUGGAGCCCCAUGGAAAUGAUAUGAAGAAAUCGUGUGCUUGCAAGCUCUGUGGAGAAAUAGGACACGACCAUAGAGAACACCAGGAUGAAUGCCCUAAUGGUGAAGGAAGUCACCCAGCUGAAGAAUACCCAACUAGGCAGAUUACUUGUUUCUUGUGUGAAGGAACUACCCACUACCCUGCUUAGUGUCACAUUUACUCCAUGGUACAAAGAACCAUCCAGCAGAAGAAAGAAGCAAUGAAAGGGGCCCUCAUGGAAAUUUUAGGAGACCAAGUAAUGAAGGAAGAGGUGGAGGACACACCCGAAGAAAACCCAAUGAAACCCUGCGCCAAGUCUUGCUAUUCAUGUGGAGAAGGACACAUCUCCCAAAAUUGUCUGAAUGGGGAUCUAAUAGAAUUCCCGACAGAGGAAGUAGAGUAUGACCCACAGGAAGUAGAAGCCCUGAUUGGAACGGAAAAGUCUAGGAAGAGAAGUAGAUUGGAUUCCAGGAAGGACCUGAGCCAUAUCAUCUGUUUCAGGUGCAAGGAGUCAGGGCACUACUUCAGCCGUUGCCCAAAAAGGAAUCCUAGGACCCAAGGAGGCUAUGUAAUCACAAGGAAACUUCGAGACUUGUCAAAAGUAGUAUGUUACCGUAGUAAUGAAGUAGGGAACUUUGCCAGAGAUUGGCCCAAAGAGAAGGAGACUUGUGCUAAAUAGUGGAGUUAGCAACGAAAGAAAUAGAGUGGUAGUAGUGGGAACAAUUCUUUUACAUUGAGGCGAUGAGUUGAGGCAUGUAAUGGAAAAGCAAGUGAUUGUAAUCAUUGGAGAAUCAAUAAACUUAGCAUCGUUGGUAAAGAUUUGGAUUUUAUGAGCAGUGACUGUAUGAAGGAAGAUUUUGACUAUUUUCGAGGAUAUGAGAAAUAUGGUCUAUGGAUAAAUUUGUGCAUUUCAAGGGUGGUAGUAAUUGUGAGAACCCUUGACCCUGGUAAAGAAAGUGAUAUUCCACGAAGUGGACUUCGAACAUCAUAAGUACGAGUUUUGUCGCGCUAUGUGGGAUAUCCUAAGAGUAAGAAGGGAUGAAGUACUAUUGGAUAUGGAGGUAUAAUGUUGGUAAUAUGGAGCAAGUGUAACUCCAUGAUGAGUUUGAGUAAUCACGUCAUAGUGUGAUACCAAUAGAAGGAAGGAAGGAAGACAGUACAAUUGGAUGGAUUUAAGAAUACUAGGAAGUUGGAUGUUGGGAUAAUGAUCUGUUGCCCCAAGAAUGAGUUCAAGGUUUGCAAGUGAUGAGAUGGGCCAUAACCCACAGGCCCCAGGACCUACCAAGAAGCAAGCACACUCUUGCUAAAGGAAAAACCCUAGAAGAAGGUAUGCCUUUAUCAACAGACGAUCUUAUAGGAGUUUACGCAAAACCUUAGAGUUGUAAAGGAACGAUAGAUGUUGGUUUGGCUUGAGAAUCAAUGGAAUUAUCCGAACUUGGUUCGUCGACAAGAGAAAUUCUGCAAUGCUUGUGAGGAUGACCGAGUGUUAGAAUCCGAGAUUCAUUAAACCGUAUACAAGGUAAUGAUUUUGGUGCGGGAUGGAUUGAUCACCAUACCUACCUACUCUUAUUAUUCGCUUUGCUAUGUGGGAUGGUAAAUCUGAGUGACUUACCUAUAGUAGAGAGACGACGAUCAAAACCUUGUUUAAACCUUAGAAUGGUAUGACGCUUUUCCCUUGUACAAGGCAGUUGUUGCCAAUCGUAGGAUAUACGGUGAGGUUCAACCCAGACCCAUUUUCUGCAGGAGAAACCAUAAAUGGUUGACCACCAUGAGAUAUCGAUAGUUGUUUAGUAUUGGCGCCAGACCCGUCAGCUAAGAAGACCCAGUCUCGGAAUAACCGUACCAAUAUGAAAAGGAUACAAGGAUUGAGGAAAAAGGUUAUGCCAUUAUCGGAAGAGCCACAGAAGGAAUUAUACUGAAGAUCUGAGAAGACUGACACUGUCAGGAAUAAGCAUGGAGUAUAUGAGUUUUGACGGAACAGUAACAAUGCUUUUAAGGGUGGUAGCACCCCAGACCCCCUGAGAUGAUCGAUGGAUUUUGUGAAGACCCCAAACCUAACCUAUUUCUUGCUAGCCUCUCCAAAUCUCGAGGACGAGAUUCAUUUUAAGGGUAGUAGGUUUGUAACAUCCCAAAAUUCUAAAUUUUGGAAUGUUAUAUUAAAUAGAUAGUUUGAUUGUUGGUUUGAUUGAUUGAGUGAAAUUUGAAACUUAUGAAAGUUAAAUGAGAGGGAAUAAAAGGACUUUCCCAAUCUUUCACCUUUGCUUUUUGAUCUCCAUGUAUUCAAAUACUUUUCAAACACAAAACCCUGGAGUGAAGAUAAUAUGACUUCUUCCAUUUAAAUAAAUGAAAAAGGGUUUUGAAAAGAUUUGAAUUUCAUUUGGAAAUAUUUUCAAAUUUCAGAAACUUCAAGCAACUCAAUGAUUUUCAUGAUAGAAGAUAAAAUGACUUCUUCAAAACAUAUGAAAUAUGAGUUGGGAGUUUAAAUGAAAUCCAAUUUAAAGCCCCGUUGAAUAUUAUUUUCAAUUUGGCCUUAUUUGGGUUUUAUUCAAAUUAUUUUUCUCCAAAAAUAAAAUAUUGGAAAAUAGGGUAACAUGAUUCCCUACAUCAGAAAAUUGGAGAGAAAUAAAUUUGAAAUCAUUUUGGUAUUUUUAAAAUGAUUUUUAUUGGAUUUUAUUGGACAAGUAGCACACUUUGUUUAUUUGAAUUAUUGUGGAUUUUAUUUGAAGUUAGAUUAAUGUUCAGGUUGUAGAAAAUGUUUUUCUAAAAAAAUGGAUAUAUAAUAUGCCUAUAGUAUAUUUUAGUUUAUUUCGUUUUUUUCUGUACAAAUAAAUGUUUUUUUAAAACCUCUCUUCCGCCGCCGACUGGGCCGGCCCAGCCCCUGCCAAGCUGGCCCAACCCAGCUGCCAUCGUCACCGACGCGAGGACGGAGUCCGCCUUGGGCACGCCACCACUCGCCGCCGUACUCCGCCCGGAGUCCCCUCGUCGCCGUGCCCCCUCCUCCACGCCUCCCGAGGCCGUUUCCCCCCUCCAUAAAUAGCGCCACCCUCUGUCUCUCUCCUCCUCCUCGCAUGGCGCCGCCGUCGCCGCAUCUCACCGCCGCCGCCGCCGCCGGGGGCCACAGCCGCCGCCCUCGUUGCCGUCGACCGCCGCCGACGCCAACCCCGCAACCGCCGCUCCACGCCGCCCCUCCCCAUGCCCUUCGCCGCCCUCCUGGACGACCGGAGCCGCCGCCCCGGCCGGCCCUGAGCCGCCGCCACCGUUCCGGCUCGCCGUUGACCUCCACCGCCGCGGUGAGCCACCAGAAUCCUCUCGUGCGUCCGAUCGUAGAUCUAGGGCUAGAUUAGAUCGGUUAGUUUUUUUUACUUUUUUAUUUAUUUCGAACCAUUAUCCCUUAGUUAGAGGACGUUCGCUGUUUUGUCUACGGAGCGAACAGUUUUCAGCCACUAACAAUCUUCACACGUAGCCAGGGGCCUAGUGGCAGUUAUUUUAUUUACAGAUUAGCCCCUGGACUUCAAACCCUCACAUAUUUUUACACCGUUUAUCCAAAUCCAACAAAACCAACACCCACUUCUUCGUUACGAUCCCCUCUAUCUAUUAAAACAACUUAAUCAUGUUUUUGAAAGUUUUAAAAUUUGAAUUCAAACAUUUUAGUAUUUGAACUUCGUUUGAUCGUAACUCGAGUUCUAUAACUCCGUUUUAGUUGAUUCUUUUUGCAAAUUAAAGCUCUUGACCUAAACUUUCUGAUAAGGAGAAAUUCACUCAGUUUUGGUACUGUUAGAAAUUGUCUACUAUUGCAAGAGUUAUUUUCUUGGUUUCGAAUUUUUCUGAAUUGCUUUCUUCAUUCUUUCCGAUCUUUUGAGAGUUGGUUUAUGUGUGGUUACUAUUGUUUGCUUACGAUAGAUUGAACGGAGUGUGACGAAUAGAACUAUCAGGAGUUGAGUGCAAAUCAUCUUCAUCAACAGUACAUGCAAGUUCACACUUUGAUCAUAUCCCUUUCAUACCCAGUUUUUAUGCAUUAGUUUCACCCUCAAACAUUGCAUGGUUAGGAAUUGAUAACAUGUGGGUAUUAGGGAGUAGUUUAUGAGGUAGGAACCUAUUGCCCUGUUACUAUCAAACCCUUGGGAGUUACUUCUAUGUUAUGCUUAUACUGCAACGCUAUGCUCGUAAACGUGGUUUGGGUUUGAGUGUUUUCCAUGACAGAUGUGAGAUUGUUACUUAAUGGUUCAACUUAAGGUGGCUACUUAAAUAAACAUCUAGGUGGAUUGAGGCACCUGGGUAUUCUAGCGAUUGCCUGUUUUUAUGGACCGCCACCCAGGCUCAAAGGGAUCAUAAGAUUAUUCAUGCUAGAAACUUUCGUGUGCAGCCACAAGCUACUAUGGGCUCUAGCAUAGUUGAUUAAGUUGGGUGAACUCUUACAGUGGUAGACUAGCAGAUGUAGGGGAAAGUAGGUGUAAUGGUCUACCCAUCGUAAGGUGUAAACGCUUCUGAAAGACUAUGUCUCGGUCAUCCGUUUCUCAAACACCAUGUAGUGCAAGAAAACCAACGGAGGAGAUCGAGUCUUGUGGGGAAAAGUGCGCAAACCUCUGCAGAGUGUACAAACUAAUCAUUAUUAGCAGUGUCCCCGGUUAUGGACAUCUUGAGUAUCUGGUUCUUGGAUUAUCAUGUUGAUCUCAUCAUGUUACUUAAUAUAAUUUGUUGGGUUGUUAAUGAUUACUUUUAAUUGGGAUUGAGAGGGGGUUUACCUUCUCAAUGUUUUCAAACAACUGUGUAGUUAAAUAAAAUUUUAUUCCUUUGCAGUAGGAAAAAAUUGGCUUUUCGCAAAAAACAUUAUAACCAUAGAGCUUUUCCACCAGCCAUAUAUGCAUGUAGAGAUAGCUUUUAUUCAUCAUUCAUCCUAUGGUAUGAAUUUUCCAGUACAUUCAAUGUACUGACCUACAUGGCUGCAACGUCUCAUGUUGCAGGAUUUCUUACGACGAGUAAGUGAUACGUUAGGGUUACGAUUUCUACACUCAACUUUGCCGUUGGUGUUGAUGGGAAUCCACAAUCUUGUUGUUACUUCCGCUAUUUGGAUUGAGGUAAUUAUAUUUACGUUAUUUAUACAUGUGAUUUACCUCUGUUAUAAAUCCUCGAGUACUGUGUGUGUCAGCAUACCGAUCCAGGGAUGACACUUAAGCACAGAGACUUGAUCCAUUCGGGUCGGGUCGCUACAAGAUGGUACCAGAGCACAUGUUGACUGUAGGACGUGACCCUAGAGAUUGGCAAUCCCCUAGGAAAGAUUUUCCCUACUACUUUAUUUUCAAAAAGAUCUUUUACUUCUCUUCUCUUCUGAGCUUGUUCAAAUAUUCCCUUUUAGUUAGACCAUACCCUUUCCCCUUUUGACCACAUGAAGAUUCGGCUGAUGAGACCACUCCAAGGAGUACAAGAUAUCGAGCAACUAAGACUACUUUGGAAUGAAGAGGAUUUUACCGUGUACUAUUAUAAUGGAAACUACAAUGGUUGAAGACAUCGAAGACUCGAGAAUUUGAAAGCUUUGAAGAUUUUCUAGAUUUGUAUGACCUAGGAAGGCUACCUUAUAGAACUUGGUAGACUAAGGAAGUUGUCAAUAUCCGAGAUCAAGGUAUAUCGGAGAAAGACCAGAACAUGGAGCUUUAGAACUCAAAGUUUUUGUUAAGAAAAACCCUAAGACAGGAGGUAUCAAUUAUGGAAUGAAAGCUCAUGGCAGUAACAUGGGCAUAGGCACGGAUUACCAUGAUGUUAUCUGUCACGCCCUCGAUGCGGCUAUAUCUCCCACGUGUCGAAGCACGACUUAGAGGCAUAACCGCAUUGAAAGCAAUGUCGCAAGUGAGGUAAUCUUCACACAACCCAUGUAAUACACAAGGGAAAGAGAUACAUAGUUGGCUUACAAUCGCCACUUCACACAAUUACAUGAAUAAAGCAUUACAUCAUCCAGAUACAAUCAAGGUCCGACUACGGAACCAAAAUAAAAGAAGAACCCCAAAUGCGACAAAGGUCCCCGAUCGACCCCAACUGGGCUCCACUACUGAUCAACUAGAACGAAACAACACAAAGGGCAAGAUCUUCAUCGAGCUCCUCCUUGAGCUUGGUUGCGUCAUCUGCACGGUAACAUAGGCACCUGCAAACUGGUUUUGGAAGUAUCUGUGAGCCACGGGGACUCAGCAAUCUCGCACCCGCGAGAUCAAGACUAUUUAAGCUUAUAGGAAGGAUGGAGUAAUGAGGUGGAGCUGCAGCAAGCGACUAGCAUAUAUGGUGGCUAACAUACGCAAAUGAGAGCGAGAAGAGAAGGCAAAGCACGGUCGAUAAAAGUAUGAUCAAGAAGUGAUCCUAUAGCAACCUACGUCAAGCAUAACUCCAACACCGUGUUCACUUCCCGGACUCCGCCGGAAAGAGACCAUCACGGUUACACACACGGUUGAUGUGUUUUAAUUAAGGUCAACUUCAGGUUUUCUACAACCGGACGUUAACAAAUUCCCAUCUGCCCAUAACCGCGGGCACGGCUUUCGAAAGUUCAAAUCCCUGCAGGGUGUCCCAACUUAGCCCAUCACAAGCUCUCACGGUCAACGAAGGAAUAGACCUCCACCCGAGACAUUCCGAUCAGACUCGGUAUCCCGGUACAACAAGACAUUUCGACAGGGUAAAACUAAACCAGCAACACCGCCCGAAUGUGCCGACAAAUCCCGAUAGGAGCUGCACAUAUCUCUUUCUCAGGGCACACUCACAUGAGCGCUCCGUACAACUAAAACCAAACCUCGAGUUUCCCCGAGGGGGCACUGCACAGGACUCUAGUUUGGACCAACACUCAGAGGAGCACUGGCCCGGGGGGUAAAAUAAUGAUGACCCUCAGGAGCGCGACUCCCAAGGGAAAAGAAAAGGCUAGGUGGCAAAUGGUAAAACCAAUGUUGGGCAUUGCUGGAAGAGCUUUACUUAAGGCAAACUGUCAAGGGGUUCCCAUUAUAGCCCAACCGCGUAAGGGACGCAAAAUCCGGGAACAUAACACCGAUAUGACGGAAACUAGGGCGGCAAGAGUGGAACAAAACACCAGGCAUAAGGCCGAGCCUUCCACCCUUUACCAAGUAUAUAGAUGCAUUAAUUAAAUAAGAUAUAUUGUGAUAUCCCAACAAGUAAUCAUGUUCCAACAAGGAACAACAUCUCCAUGUUCCAACAAGGAACAAACUUCAAACUUCACCUGCAACUAACAACGCUAUAAGAGGGGCUGAGCAAAGCGGUAACAUAGCCAAUCAACGGUUUGCUAGGACAUGGUGGGUUAGAGGUUUGACAUGGCAAUUUGGGAGGCUGACAAGCAAAUGGUAGGCAUCGUAGCAUUGGCAUGGCAAAAGAGCGAGCAAACUAGCAUAGCAAAGAUAGUAGUGAUUUCGAGGGUAUGAUCAUCUUGCCUGAGAUCCCGCAAGGAAGAAGAAAGAGUCCAUGAAGAAGACAAACGGACGAAGUCGAACGAAUCCUCACAACUCCGGAACGAAACCGAAGCUAACGAGAGAAGCAACCCGGAAAGAAACAAACAACAUAGUAAACAAACAUCACAUAAACAUGGCAUGAUGCGCAAACAAGUAUGAUGCAUGUCCGGUUUAAAUAUGCAUGGCAUGGGAAAGUGCACAAACAAUCCUACAAAUUAAGUGGGGCUCAAUAUGCAACGAGUUGCAUAUUGACGAAACACCACAACAAGUUAUUUAGUUCGAUCUCGUUUAUGUACCCAACAAUAUUGAAUGUUGUUAAACAUGGCAAGAGGGUGAAGCAAAUGAAAACUACCUAUCUAGGCAAGUUUAAAUGAGGCCGGAACAACAAACAACAAUUCCGGUAAAUCCCCACAUGUCUUUUAGUAGUUUAAUGCAAACAUAAUUUUUAAACAUUUUAAAUGUUGUUAUCAUGAUGCGGAUGACAUAUGCAAGUUUAUGCUUUUUUUAAGAAAAUGUUGACAUGAGCAUGUUAUGAAGCAUUAGUCGCCAUGGCGGAAUGAAAAGGGUGCCACGGCGGCGAAACAGAAAUGGUGCCACGGCAACAUAUCCGAAAAUGAUGCCAUGGCAACAUAUCGGUUCCGGUAGCUCACAGAGAUACCGGUGCAAAAGGAGGCGUGACGUGAGCGAGUCAUGCAAGAUGGUGGGGUGAUCCCGACUUCCGGGUUCCCACGGGACGGUGGCACGGCAAAAGAGGGGCAUCGCAAGGACGAUUCGAUCACAGAGCAAACGAUGCAUCUCAUUCAACACAUGCAUUAGGUCACGGGCGUCGUCUCGGCGUUAUACCUUCGAAGCGUGCGUUUUCGGAGCGGUUCGAGUCAUCGAGGGAAGUAGUUGUUCACGGCGACGGUAGAGGUACUCGCGAUCUUGGCAACGGUAGUCGUACAUGUCCGGAGAGGAACUUGUCGCAUCCACGGUAUUCGGGCGUAGUGGAAGUAGUUGUUCAAGUGUUGUCGUGGGAAGUAGUCGUACACGGCGUCGGUAGUGGUACACGGGUCUUCGGGCGACGGUAGAUGGUACAUGUUUUCGUAGAUGAACUUGGCGAUCCGAAGGGGUACUUGGCGCAUCACCGUGUGUAGUCGUACUCGGUGUCCUCGGGGCAUCGGCUGUAGUCGAAGAACUUGGCGUGCGUCAACUGUUGAGCAACAGUGCACAGGAGGCAGCAAGGCAUGGACGACUUGGUGUGCAACCAAAGAUGGACUUCGGGCGUCUGGGUUGACUUGGCCACGACAAAGGCAACAGGGCCAACGGGGCAGCCAACUCGUCUUGGAGGGGAGCCCUAACGGACAGAGCAGCUCGCGAGGACAUCGGCGGCUCGCGAGGCACCCACAGCAGCAGCAGGACGAGGCAUGAAAAAUCGACAGCACGGCAACCAUGAAGGAGGCAGCACGUGGUCGUGGUGGCUCGGGCAGAAGGUCAACGGGGCGACGGGGAUGCAGACUAGGCAGGAGCUUGGCGCAGCGGGGACGAUGGAUCCGGGCGGCGACCGCGGCUUGGGAGCUCCUCAACAAAUCGAGCAGAGGCGGCGAGCUGCGGGCGGCCGUCCCGAGGAGGUUGGCGACGGGGAUUGGGCACGAUGGAGGAGGGCGCACGAGGAGGGGGCCGCGGGGACGGGGCGAGGGCAGCAGGAGGCGAACGACGGAGGCUCGAGGUGCACUGAAGGAGUGGAGGAGAGAGGAGGAAGGGCGCGGGAGGAGCAGCAGGGCGGCGCCAUGGCCGGAGAUGGUCGCGCUCGGGGACGAGCUCCGACGGAGCUGCUCGCUGGCAGCGGCCGGAAACAGAGGCGAGGCAGAGGAGGGGCACGGGCGCAGGAGGCUGAGAGGGGCGAGACAGAGGAGAUCGAGGGGAGCGGGUCGGGCUAGGUUAGGAGGGUUAGGUGGGCUGGGCCUGAGAGGCCGGUUGGGUCGGCCCAGGUGGAGAGGAAAUGGCCAGAGGCCUGGCUGGGCUUACCUCUCUCUUCUCUCUCUCUCUUAUAUUUACUUUAGCAGAAAAGCAAAAAGAGAGAAGAAAAGAAAAGGAGGGUUAGGGAAAGAAAAUGCGCAAGGGGAUAAUUUCCUUGGACUCACAAAAAUAUGCUCGUACCAAGAAAAAUAGAAAGAGGCAUGAUUGAAAGAUUAAAUUCAAACUCAUUUGAUUUAAAUUCAAAUGAUUUGAAUAGGAAGUGAGGUUUGGGAAGGUCCAAAAAUGUUCGGAUUUUUGGUGGAGCUCCGGAAAAUGAUGAAAUAAUUUAUGGGCAGAGUUGGAGACCAAGAAUUAAGAUAAUAAAGGCAUUGGGAUAUUUUGCAAGUGUGUUAAGGUGAUUCCAAAACAAUGGAAUAUUUUAUUAUAGCUCCCUAAAUAUCGGGAGGGUAUGUUAUAAAGAGAAGUCACCAUGUGAGUCCCUCGAUUUAAAUGGAUCGAAAAAUCCAUACAAUUUAUUUAGUUGAGGUUUUAAAAAUUAAUGAUAUGAUGGCAUGAUGACAUGAUGCAAUGCACAUGAUGCAAGGAUGAAUGCAACAAAUAAAACAAAUCACACGACGAAACUCGGAAUAGCUGGAAGUCUUCUGAAGCAUCGGUCUUGGGGCGUUACAACACUCCACCACUACGAGAGGAUCUCGUCCCGAGAUCUAGGAUGGCACCGGAGGGAAACGGAAGAGGAAGAUAAGCGGUAAAACUAAGUUGCUUCUUUGACAAACGAGUGAAUCCAAAGAACCUUGAAAGGUUAAUCCAUUUCGAGAAAAGAAUACAAUGGAGAUGACGAAGCUAAAAACACUCCGUUAGAAAAGAGGAACAAGGGAGAACAACUUCGGGCAGCACUCCGAUUGAAAAGAAAAAGAAUUGAAUAAGAACUUGAUAAGAUGAGAAGAUACUUGAUGAAAUCACAACACACUGCCUCCGGAACUAUUGAAAGAAUGGCACAAUGGGUAAGAAGGAUUUCAGACAGCUCUCCAGUUGAGGAAGGAGGGAAAACUUGAUAAGAUUAGAGAACUCGAACGAAAACACGACACUCCGGUUAAAUGGAUAAGCAAGAAAAGAACACGAUCCUCACGAAUCGAGAUGAUGAGUGAAAAGAGCAACGUCACAAUGCCUCCGGAAGAAAGAAUAGAAGAUAGGUCAUUGGAAUAACAGAAUGGAGGGGGAAAUGGCAACUUCUGCCACAAUUGAGCUUGGAAAGCACCCUUCCAAGAAGGUUACAACGGGGUUGUUGGGAAAAACCCAACAACGAAACGAAUAAGCUUGUAGUGGGCUUAUGGAAAACAUCUCAAAAUUAUGAGGUGACAACCGGCCACUAACGGAAACGAUUGCUAGCUUUAGAUCGACUAAGAGAUGAACACUUCUUCCACCAAGAUGAUAAAGAGAUAACUUGGAUCAUUGGCAAGCACCACAAAUAGCAACAUUCCAAUGGAAGGCUUUUAGGUGAAAUAUGACACAGGAUAACUCCAACAAUGAGGUUGAUGGAUUUAAAAUACCUCAUUCUUAACAACAUGUGAAUCACGAAACAUGAACUCAAAUUAUCAAGAAUGACAUAAUACCACCUUCAAAGAUUCGGAAGAAAGAAUUGCACUCCGGGUAGCAAGAUGAAGAAUGCUUGAGCUCCUUAGAAAAGAAUCUCAAUGAACACUUGGAGAAGGGAUAUAAAUCCUUGAUGAACCAUCAUGCAUAGCCUCCAUGAAGAAACUCCGGUAACAAAAGAAUAAAAAGAAAGAGAAAUUGAAAACACAAGGUGAAUCCUUGCAAUGAUUUAGAUGGAGCUUCGCGACGAGAUAAUGCGGAAAACUUAGAACUCCAAAAGAAAGAUGAACAACAAGCAGCCAAGAAUUUAUUCCUCCUGAACAAACUCUGAAGGAAAGGAUUAAUCACUUGGAUGAAACCAGAAUAAGAAUUAUGUUAUGCGUAUCCUUCACCAAUUUAAAUUGAUGACAAGCAACGGAUUUGGCAUACUACUUAUUCUUGUAGAAAGGAUUAAGAGAGAUAUGGCGUAAACUUGAGAAGGUCUUCAAGGAACCACCGGUAGGAUUUGGAAAGAACGAAUGAAUUGAUAUGAUAACAAAGAAAGAGAACUCUUGAACGAACCACCGUAAGAAUUGAAAUUGAACGUAGCAAAUGCACAAGUCACCGGGAAGAAUUGCAAAAUGAAUGAAGAUACUUUAGGGUGGGUGGGCGGGAAAAAACAAAGGCAACUUGGAGACGGAUGAAACAACCACCGUUGAGAAGAAAUGAUAAUUGGUCUUGCUGAUGUUGAAGUGAUCGGAUCCACUUGAAGAGAAACACGCCGGUUGAAAAGGAUUGACAUGACAAUCUCGAUUGUCGAGAAGGAUUGGUAUUCACAUCGGAGUAUGAGAACACCAUUUCGGAAAGGUAUGGAAUCAACACUUGACAUUGAAGCAACUCGAAUACCACAACUCAAAACAAAAACAAAGGACUGGCUUGCAGAAUAAGCCGGAACAAACAUAUGAUAGAGAUUUCGUCCGAAGUUUUCGUGGUGGGGCCUACACGGGCUCGAUCGUACAACGCCAUCAUGUACAAGGCAGUGCACAUGACAUACGAAGCGUCCCCGAGUCGGCAUAGCCAAGGACUCUUUAAGACACAACGAGACCACUGUAAAAUUCAACCGUGAAUAGGCGGACCACUAGACGUCGAACCCCAAUUUCAUAUCAUACAUCUGUCGGGAAGAUAUCCUAAGAGCUACUUGAUUUCCCACCUAUGAAACUCCCGAAAUUUUCAGGUUAUGCAAUCAGGUGUUGGGGAUACAGGGGAAGCAUAAUAUCUCACCCAAAACUAACAAAUCCUACAUCCAGCUGUAUCCAUCCUUCAACACAUAACCAAGAAACCUUCGGAAAUCGUCUACCUCAACCUUCGAAAAGCAUCCGUUAUACAAGUCAUGUCAAUACUCCCGUACUCACCUCAGUACUGGGUUAUCGGGGUUAUCUCACCAACAACUGCAUAAAAGAGAUUUUCGAUGUCGGCGUACUAAACUCAGGUAUUCCAGAACUGCAACGAUAAAAUUAUGACGACAACGCCUCAGAGCUCAACUCCCCGGGACACUUCCACUAAACCCCUGACAGGAGGCACCAAAACAAUGUUCUCAUCAUAAAACCAUCGGAACGAUUCCAAGAUACCCGCGUGAUCCUAAAUUUUUUUAGUGAAAUUUGAGAAGAGAAGAGUCGAAACUCUAUGCCAGGAUGCCUUACCAGAGCGAUGAGGAGACUGGGAAGUAAAAAGAAUUCCUAAACUCUCCGAUAUAUAAUUCCUAAAGACUCAAAACAUUUUUCUAGACACGACUCGGCCGCUAAAAACGAUCAAGCAAUGGGGCUCCUAAGGUCUGGGAAGGCUCUGAUUACCAACUUGUCACGCCCUCGAUGCGGCUAUAUCUCCCACGUGUCGAAGCACGACUUAGAGGCAUAACCGCAUUGAAAGCAAUGUCGCAAGUGAGGUAAUCUUCACACAACCCAUGUAAUACACAAGGGAAAUAGAUACAUAGUUGGCUUACAAUCGCCACUUCACACAAUUACAUGAAUAAAGCAUUACAUCAUCCAGAUACAAUCAAGGUCCGACUACGGAACCAAAAUAAAAGAAGAACCCCAAAUGCGACAAAGGUCCCCGAUCAACCCCAACUGGGCUCCACUACUGAUCAACUAGAACGAAACAACACAAAGGGCAAGAUCUUCAUCGAGCUCCUCCUUGAGCUUGGUUGCGUCAUCUGCACGGUAACAUAGGCACCUGCAAACUGGUUUUGGAAGUAUCUGUGAGCCACGGGGACUCAGCAAUCUCGCACCCGCGAGAUCAAGACUAUUUAAGCUUAUAGGAAGGAUGGAGUAAUGAGGUGGAGCUGCAGCAAGCGACUAGCAUAUAUGGUGGCUAACAUACGCAAAUGAGAGCGAGAAGAGAAGGCAAAGCACGGUCGAUAAAAGUAUGAUCAAGAAGUGAUCCUAUAGCAACCUACGUCAAGCAUAACUCCAACACCGUGUUCACUUCCCGGACUCUGCCGGAAAGAGACCAUCACGGUUACACACACGGUUGAUGUGUUUUAAUUAAGGUCAACUUCGGGUUUUCUACAACCGGACGUUAACAAAUUCCCAUCUGCCCAUAACCGCGGGCACGGCUUUCGAAAGUUCAAAUCCCUGCAGGGUGUCCCAACUUAGCCCAUCACAAGCUCUCACGGUCAACGAAGGAAUAGACCUCCACCCGAGACAUUCCGAUCAGACUCGGUAUCCCGGUACAACAAGACAUUUCGACAGGGUAAAACUAAACCAGCAACACCGCCCGAAUGUGCCGACAAAUCCCGAUAGGAGCUGCACAUAUCUCUUUCUCAGGGCACACUCAGAUGAGCGCUCCGUACAACUAAAAGCAAACCUCGAGUUUCCCCGAGGGGGCGCUGCACAGGACUCUAGUUUGGACCAACACUCAGAGGAGCACUGGCCCGGGGGGUAAAAUAAUGAUGACCCUCAGGAGCGCGACUCCCAAGGGAAAAGAAAAGGCUAGGUGGCAAAUGGUAAAACCAAUGUUGGGCAUUGCUGGAAGAGCUUUACUUAAGGCGAACUGUCAAGGGGUUCCCAUUAUAGCCCAACCGCGUAAGGGACGCAAAAUCCGGGAACAUAACACCGAUAUGACGGAAACUAGGGCGGCAAGAGUGGAACAAAACACCAGGCAUAAGGCCGAGCCUUCCACCCUUUACCAAGUAUAUAGAUGCAUUAAUUAAAUAAGAUAUAUUGUGAUAUCCCAACAAGUAAUCAUGUUCCAACAAGGAACAACAUCUCCAUGUUCCAACAAGGAACAAACUUCAAACUUCACCUGCAACUAACAACGCUAUAAGAGGGUCUGAGCAAAGCGGUAACAUAGCCAAUCAACGGUUUGCUAGGACAUGGUGGGUUAGAGGUUUGACAUGGCAAUUUGGGAGGCUGACAAGCAAAUGGUAGGCAUCGUAGCAUUGGCAUGGCAAAAGAGCGAGCAAACUAGCAUAGCAAAGAUAGUAGUGAUUUCGAGGGUAUGAUCAUCUUGCCUGAGAUCCCGCAAGGAAGAAGAAAGAGUCCAUGAAGAAGACAAACGGACGAAGUCGAACGAAUCCUCACAACUCCGCAACGAAACCGAAGCUAACGAGAGAAGCAACCCGGAAAGAAACAAACAACAUAGUAAACAAACAUCACAUAAACAUGGCAUGAUGCGCAAACAAGUAUGAUGCAUGUCCGGUUUAAAUAUGCAUGGCAUGGGAAAGUGCACAAACAAUCCUACAAAUUAAGUGGGGCUCAAUAUGCAACGAGUUGCAUAUUGACGAAACACCACAACAAGUUAUUUAGUUCGAUCUCGUUUAUGUACCCAACAAUAUUGAAUGUUGUUAAACAUGGCAAGAGGGUGAAGCAAAUGAAAACUACCUAUCUAGGCAAGUUUAAAUGAGGCCGGAACAACAAACAACAAUUCCGGUAAAUCCCCACAUGUCUUUUAGUAGUUUAAUGCAAACAUAAUUUUUAAACAUUUUAAAUGUUGUUAUCAUGAUGCGGAUGACAUAUGCAAGUUUAUGCUUUUUUUAAGAAAAUGUUGACAUGAGCAUGUUAUGAAGCAUUAGUCGCCAUGGCGGAAUGAAAAGGGUGCCACGGCGGCGAAACAGAAAUGGUGCCACGGCAACAUAUCCGAAAAUGAUGCCAUGGCAACAUAUCGGUUCCGGUAGCUCACAGAGAUACCGGUGCAAAAGGAGGCGUGACGUGAGCGAGUCAUGCAAGAUGGUGGGGUGAUCCCGACUUCCGGGUUCCCACGGGACGGUGGCACGGCAAAAGAGGGGCAUCGCAAGGACGAUUCGAUCACAGAGCAAACGAUGCAUCUCAUUCAACACAUGCAUUAGGUCACGGGCGUCGUCUCGGCGUUAUACCUUCGAAGCGUGCGUUUUCGGAGCGGUUCGAGUCAUCGAGGGAAGUAGUUGUUCACGGCGACGGUAGAGGUACUCGCGAUCUUGGCAACGGUAGUCGUACAUGUCCGGAGAGGAACUUGUCGCAUCCACGGUAUUCGGGCGUAGUGGAAGUAGUUGUUCAAGUGUUGUCGUGGGAAGUAGUUGUACACGGCGUCGGUAGUGGUACACGGGUCUUCGGGCGACGGUAGAUGGUACAUGUUUUCGUAGAUGAACUUGGCGAUCCGAAGGGGUACUUGGCGCAUCACCGUGUGUAGUCGUACUCGGUGUCCUCGGGGCAUCGGCUGUAGUCGAAGAACUUGGCGUGCGUCAACUGUUGAGCAACAGUGCACAGGAGGCAGCAAGGCAUGGACGACUUGGUGUGCAACCAAAGAUGGACUCCGGGCGUCUGGGUUGACUUGGCCACGACAAAGGCAACAGGGCCAACGGGGCAGCCAACUCGUCUUGGAGGGGAGCCCUAACGGACAGAGCAGCUCGCGAGGACAUCGGCGGCUCGCGAGGCACCCACAGCAGCAGCAGGACGAGGCAUGAAAAAUCGACAGCACGGCAACCAUGAAGGAGGCAGCACGUGGUCGUGGUGGCUCGGGCAGAAGGUCAACGGGGCGACGGGGAUGCAGACUAGGCAGGAGCUUGGCGCAGCGGGGACGAUGGAUCCGGGCGGCAACCGCGGCUCGGGAGCUCCUCAACAAAUCGAGCAGAGGCGGCGAGCUGCGGGCGGCCGGCGCGAGGAGUUUGGCGACGGGGAUUGGGCACGAUGGAGGAGGGCGCACGAGGAGGGGGCCGCGGGGACGGGGCGAGGGCAGCAGGAGGCGAACGGCGGAGGCUCGAGGUGCGCUGAAGGAGUGGAGGAGAGAGGAGGAAGGGCGCGGGAGGAGCAGCAGGGCGGCGCCAUGGCCGGAGAUGGUCGCGCUCGGGGACGAGCUCCGACGGAGCUGCUCGCUGGCGGCGGCCGGAAACAGAGGCGAGGCAGAGGAGGGGCACGGUCGCAGGAGGCUGAGAGGGGCGAGACGGAGGAGAUCGAGGGGAGCGGGUCGGGCUAGGUUAGGAGGGUUAGGUGGGCUGGGCCUGAGAGGCCGGUUGGGUUGGCCCAGGUGGAGAGGAAAUGGCCAGAGGCCUGGCUGGGCUUACCUCUCUCUUCUCUCUCUCUUAUAUUUACUUUAGCAGAAAAGCAAAAAGAGAGAAGAAAAGAAAAGGAGGGUUAGGGAAAGAAAAUGCGCAAGGGGAUAAUUUCCUUGGACUCACAAAAAUAUGCUCAUACCAAGAAAAAUAGAAAGAGGCAUGAUUGAAAGAUUAAAUUCAAACUCAUUUGAUUUAAAUUCAAAUGAUUUGAAUAGGAAGUGAGGUUUGGGAAGGUCCAAAAAUGUUCGGAUUUUUGGUGGAGCUCCGGAAAAUGAUGAAUAAUUUAUGGGCAGAGUUGGAGACCAAGAAUUAAGAUAAUAAAGGCAUUGGGAUAUUUUGCAAGUGUGUUAAGGUGAUUCCAAAACAAUGGAAUAUUUCAUUAUAGCUCCGUCAAUAUCGGGAGGGUAUGUUAUAAAGAGAAGUCACCAUGUGAGUCCCUCGAUUUAAAUGGAUGAAAAAAUCCAUACAAUUUAUUUAGUUGAGGUUUUAAAAAUUAAUGAUAUGAUGGCAUGAUGACAUGAUGCAAUGCACAUGAUGCAAGGAUGAAUGCAACAAAUAAAACAAAUCACACGACGAAACUCGGAAUAGCUGGAAGUCUUCUGAAGCAUCGGUCUUGGGGCGUUACAUUAUCGCUCGCUUAUGAUAUUGUCACCAUGCUGAGUUAAGCAUGCAUUUCUUCGGAAGGAUUGGAUGGUAGAAGGCUGGUGGAGCAUCUGUCAGCAAAGGAUGCAGUUUUAACGUAGCUGGUGUAUCACCAGGAUCUGGAGAAUUACAUCAGGAGUUUUCAGAUGGAUCUUCAGGAAGCCGUAUUUGACAAGGAAGUAGUUCAUGAAGAACCCAGGAACCAGAAGCUGAAAGUAGCCAAGCCGGAGGAGCUAAACCUCGAGAUACCAGAGAUUCGUCAGGAGCUGAAGGAUAGAAGGACAUGGUUCAUGCCAAGGAUGUUGAAACCCAGAAGUUUGGAACGCAGCUCCAGAAAUAUUAAAGGACGUCAUGAGAGAUUUCACGUCAACUAAGACUACUUUUCAUGUAUGGGUAUCUCAAGAUAAUUAGCCACACGGGUUGCAUAAAUUCCUCCGAAAAAGUUUCCAGCUAAAGCAUUAUGAUGCAACCUAGGUGCAACAAUUGCCCCUAAAUUGUAUCAUUUAUCACCUAAUACAACACUCUUGAGAACACACAGAUCAGGGACACACAUGUGACAUGCUUCAUCUUUACCAUUAAUGCAUCUACCAAUGAAGAGAGCAAAAUAAUGUAUAGAAGGAAAAUGAAUGCUCCCUAAGGUUGCUUGUGCUAUGUCCCUGGAUUCUCCCACAAUGAUAUUAGCAAGAAAAUCUUUAUAUUCAGAUUUACUAGGUUCAUUAAUACUUCCCCACUGCGGGAGUUUGCAGGAAGUAGUAAAAUCUUCUAGGUCCAUGGUAUAUAAUUUAUCAUAAAUAUCAAACAGGACACUUUGAGAAUUGCGCGAAGACGUAAGUGUAAACCUUCUCACAAAUGAAUCAGUUAAGUACUGGUACUGCGGGCACUUAUCUUGCAUGAAUGCCUCAAGGUCGGCAUUACGCACAUAUGCAUCAAAUCAUCCUUGAUACCCGCUGCAACCAUAAAUGGCUCCGAUGGCCAUUCACAAGGCCAUACAUAAGCUUCCCUUGGUAAUUUGUCAUCGAGCUCACGUAUUGCGAGCCGGGGUCCUUUCUUUCUUCAAGAACCACCUUGGUAUAUUUUCCUGAACAUAUUUCUUUUUCUGCAAUAUUUCUGAUUUUUUAGUAACUUCAAAAUAAAAGUAAAUAAAUCUGAACAAGAUUGAUAGCAACUACUCCUACAAGUGCCUAGAGCCUAUAUCAUGCAUUAAAAUUACUUGGGACCUCAUAAAUUUGACAUGCAAGCUCAAGAACAGGGUCACCUAUGCAGCAAAAAUUUGCAAUGAAUAAAGCACUAGAACAAAAACUAAUUGGAUCAAUGGAGGAGUCACAUACGAAGCAACAAUCUCCCAAAGCAGUUUUGUGAAUGGGGCUUUGAGCAAGGAGAUCGAGAAUCACAGCAAAAUGGGCUGGAACUCGUGCUUGAGCUAGAUGAGGAUUUUUUGGCAGGAAGAUGGAGUGUGUGGGUGCAGGAAUAAGUGGAGGGGGUCCACCGUGGGCCCACGAGAUAGGGGGGCGCACCCUAUAGGGGGGUGUCGGUGUCAAAGCCGGCGGAUCUCGGGUAGGGGGUCCUAAUCUGUGUGUCUUAGGCUGAUGGUAACAGGAAGCAAGGGACACAAUGUUUACCCAGGUUCGGGCCCUCUCGAUGGAGGUAAAACCCUACUUCCUGCUUGAUUAAUAUUGAAGAUAUGUGUAGUACAAGAGUAGAUCUACCACGAGAUCAUAGAGGCUAAACCCUAAGAGCUAGCCUAUGAUGGUAUGAUUGUAAUUGUGAUCGGCCUUCUAAGGACCAUCCUCUCCGGUUUAGAUAGACACGGAGAGGGCUAGGGUUUACAUGGAGUCGGUUACAAGGAAGGAAAUAUAAUAUCUGGAUCACCAAGCUUGUCUUCCACGCAAAGGAGAGUCCCAUCCGGACACGGGCCGAAGUCUUGAGUCUUGUGUCUUCAUGCUUCAAUAGCCCGGACGAUGUAUAUAGUCCAGCUGUCCGGAUACCCCUUAUCCAGGACUCCCUCAGUAGCCCUUGAACCAGGCUUCAAUGACGAUGAGUCCGGCGCGCAGUCUUGUCUUCGGCAUUGCAAGGCGGGUUCCUUCUCCGAAUACUCCAAUGUACCUAUUACGACGAAAAGUGUCCGGCUUCUUGUCGACGUUGUACUCCUCGGCUUCAGUGCCUUAAUAAUGACCAUUUCCACGUGUCGAGCGAAUGCGAGGAGGCAAGGUAUUUUUGCAUUUGCCACCCCUGAGCCUUCGGGCCAACCGUCUAUUUGAAGAGACAGGGAUUCCCAGAUCCAAACCACACUCUUCCCCCUCGAGCAAGCAUUCAAAAGAGCGCCCCAGAAAAACCAUUCCAACAUGGCCGGUCGUUGCAACUCUUCUGCUUGCUCCCCUUGCCCCAAGCCCGGGGACUGGGGAGAGUGUUCAGUUUUGCAUAGCUGUUUGAUAAACUUACAAACCCAAGGGCUUCUCCCACCGGCGUUCGCGGUUCCUGUUCGAGCCGGAAUAGCCACCUAUAACGGCGGAGAGCAAGCGGAGAGAUCCCCUAAUCCGUCUCUAGAGGAGCGAAUAUGCCUCAUUCCGCAUCUGUUAAGGGGCAUCCGGUUUCCUAUUCAUCCAUUCCUUCGCGGGCUCCUAGAGUUCUACGGCCUCCAGUUGCACAACUUUACCCCAGCUUCUGUGCUACAUAUAGCAGGGUAUGUCGCCCUUUGUGAGCUAUUUCUAGGCUGUGAGGCUCAUUUCGGUUUAUGGAAGAAGCUGUUCUACCUUGUCCCCUGCAACCAGGGAGAGUCCCUAUGUCAAGUGGACGGGGCCGAAGUAUGGCGCAUCGCUGAGACCGGAUACCUAUUCGGCACUCCUAAGAAGGCACUAGAGAACUGGGCUUCAGAGUGGUUUUAUAUUGACGAGGUCCCCCUUCCGGAUCCAGUCCGGACAGGACUCCUCGAGUUUAGUAACGCCCCGUCAAGGGCACGUCUAAGCUGGCGCCCCCGAGGCCCCCAAGAAGAAGAUACCAGGGAAAUACAUUUCCUGAUGAGCAGGAUAAAGUUACUGGCCCAAUCCGGACUGACGAUAGUCGAGGUCAUGGCAAUAUGCAUAAUGCGGGGAGUGCAGCCACUUCAAUAUCGGGGCAAUCCCAUGUGGCAUUUCAACGGGACAGACGAUGCCACCCGUUGCGCCGUAAGGGUCCGGACUCCACCACUGCUCUGGCAAGGAUACUGUCUGAUCUGUACAAAGGAGAAUAGGAAGACUUCCUUCAUAUCAAACCGCGGGAUGGAUUCUCCAUGUACAAUCCCCCAAACUGGGUGAGUCAUCAUUUAUUUUGUUGCUUCACUUAUCGUGGCGUUCUUUGCUAAGGUUACCUGCCUCGAUAUUUCCGAGCAGGAACUGAGGAGGGCCGUAGAAUGAAUCUCCAGCCCUUCCUCGCAGCCAGAAAACCCCAAAAAGGGCCCUGGAUCCAGGACUCGAAGAAGACCCGAAUGCGGCCGUGGUGCUUGUCAACGGGAUAUUUAAUCGGGCAACCCGUGACAGCGCCUCAGUGGCUAUUACCGCUGAUUAUCUCGGACUGCUACCUUCGACGCGUGUAAGCCAAGCCGAAGACUCGAUCCUCCGAAGAGGAAUCUUUCCUGAUGUCAUGCCUUAUCCCUGAAGUGUCGUGUUUUUGUAGAGGCGACGUUCGGAGCGCAGGGCCGAGCCCCUAGGGACCUGUCAGCCACAGGCGUCCGGAUUGGGCAGGCUCAAGAGGAAGGCGGUUAGGGCCGACAUGCCUCUACAGAGGUAAGGAAACCACCUGUCAUGUAAUUUAUUAUUAUUUUGAAGUAUAACAGUGCCCUUUACAUCCUAGCAGGAAGAGGAGUAUCCGGACUAUAUUCGGGGAUCCUGCCAACCAUGCCUCCACCAGUCGGGCUCCAGAGCCGAUUUCGAGAGAGGAGGCGGACGUAGGGCCGAUGCCGCAUAGUCCUCCGACAGAGGAUGCAGACAUUCUCUCUGCCACGAAUUCCGAAGUAGAGAGCGCCAUGAAUCACCGGCGUCGACGGACCGUGCUUCACAACAACAUCUUUUCCGAAGAGGCAUUUAAUGCCUUCAAUUCGGGAGACGCAUACAUCCGAGCUGCUCAAGGCGGGCUCGCCUGAGCGAUGGACCAGUAUACCAAAGAUAUACGGGUAAGAAAGUUUGAUAAGCAUGUAUAGCACAACAGUUUUAAGUAUCAAUUUAUGCGCAGGUUCUUGUAGAUAAGAAUGAGCAAUUGUCUCGGGAGCUAGAGGAGUGCAAGACCCAACUGAGGUCCAUGGUUGCCAAGCUAGAGGAAUCCCAGAAGGCCUGGCCUAGUAACAUUUAUCUCGAUUGUACGAAAAUGUACGAGUUAGCAACUGGCUGAUAUGACGAGUUUAACAGAAAACUCUGCAGAUAACCCCGGAGCAAAUCCGGAGGGCGGGAGGGAUGACGAGUCACAUCUCUAGAGGCAACUAAUGGCCGGCGAGCUCAUUCUUACGCAAGUUAAGCAUGAUAAGAAUACUCUCCAAGAUGCCAAUGUUCGGCUGGACGUGGAAUAGAAGGACGUCCGCGCGCAGCUGGCAGACUCCGUGAAGGAGAACAGAAUGCUUCGCCGCGGCAUUUAUCGUAAGUGCCUAAAUGAACUGUAGCAUAGUUCGGCGAGGAAGUAUAUUGAAAAAGUUGUGUUUGUAGGAAUGCUAAAGGGUCGCCCUGAGGAGGAGAUGCCCGCAUCUGCAGGUGAUUUACUGCAGGACCUCUCACAACUGCACAAGCGAGCUCGGCAGGUGAUGCAGGGCGUAGCGCAGGCCUUGUGGCCAUCAAGCUUCCUAAUGAAUGGCAUGGGAGAGCUUGUGGACAUGCUUCAAGGAGCACGGCGGCGCUUCCGUUUGUGGAAGAUGCCUGCCGGCAAGGUGCAAGAGAAGCAUGGGCUAUGGUGAAGACGUGCUACACCAAGCUGGACCCGAACCAUAUGGCCGAAGUCGGACCGGCAGGGCCAGAUGGGCAAGAAAUUCCCGUGAGUCUGGUAUAUGACCAGGUGGCGUUGGCCGCAAAGUAUUCUCAACAGGAUUGUAAGCUAGAUAGCCUGUUGGAUGGUAUAGAGGAUGAAUAUAGUCAGUGCAAAUGACUGUGUAAUUCGAUGGACAUAAUUAGCCCCUAGCCGGAUUAAAAUCAUUCGUCAUGGCGGACCUUUUCACUUCAGCCCCCGGAUCCUACAGUCCGGGGUGUGUCCGAAUACCCGCUCGGUUAUACAAAACCGGAGUAUGCGUGGAAACCAGGCGUAGGGGUCAUAAGUGCUUGAACAGACAAGUACCCAACUAGUUAUGUUAUAUUACAUGGAUAGUAAGAAACAUCUUCCAGAGAGAAUAUUUCCGUUAAGGGUUCCUUUCCCUGGGUAGGCAUGCGACAAAGCACAUGUCCGAACUGCGAACCAUGGGGCAGGAUACAAAACUUCUGGGGAUUUAUAUUAUGAUAAACGAAGACAUCUUUUGUUCACCGACGAAUAUUCUCUUAAGGAAACUAGCUUUCGGCUUCACCCACUGAGGUACACAUCCGGCUCAACCGGCAGUAACAGUCGCAGAGGUGCUCCCCUUAUGCCCUAGCCGAAUUAACGGGAACGUAGGGCAUAAACACAGGAGCCAGGCAACCCAGCUUGGCCACGUCUUAAGUCAUAUCGAUGCAUAUAAUGGUGAAGAAAAGUCACACAUGGAAAAUACAUGUAUGAUGGGCAAAAUACUCCCAGUAGAAGUGAUUUCUUAUUGUAUCAACUUUUUUCUGUAUUUUGACAGGCAAAGUGUAGCAACCCAGAAGGUACAUAGGGACAUUUGAUAAACAUGCAUUGAUCAAUAUAUCGCCCUUUAGAGUAAGUUAUGUUUAGCUUCCGUAUAGGAAGCCCCUAGGUAUUGCUUGCACACAUAGUGCGGCCGGAAUAAUCCAGGAGUCCGCACUGUAUUAAAUACUUUGUGUGAAGAGAAAAAGAUCGAGAAAGGAAAAGGGAGGGAGCAUAAUUGAAAUAGGAGGAGGUAAGGAGACGAACACUGAGUUCGGCGCUAGGCGUAGAAUCUCCGGAGUCUGGCCGCGCUCCAUGGGUUCGGCUCGAGUCUGUUGUCGGACGCAAUACGUAAGCGGUACGCUCCUCUGGUGAGAACUUUGUCGAUGAUGAAGGGGCCUUCCCACUUGGGUUUGAGCUUGUCCUCCUUCUUCUCCGGUAAGCGUAGAACGAGUUCGCCAAUAUUAUAAGUUUUGGCCCGCACUUCUCUGCUUUGGUAUCGUCGAGCCUGUUGCUGAUAGAAUGCGGAACGGGCCUUCGCAACAUCGUGCUCCUCCUCCAGGGCGUCCAAGUUAUCCUGUCGAUCUAGCUCGGCUUCCUUCUCUUCGUACAUGCGUACGCGUGGCGAAUCAUGUAUUAUGUCGCAGGGUAGUACUGCUUCCGCACCGUACACCAUAAAGAAUGAUGUAUAUCCGGUGGUGCGAUUCGGCGUGGUCCGCAGCCCCAGAGUACGGAGUCGAGCUCCUCGACCCAAUGAGUAUCCGACUCUGUCAAGGAUCGCACUAGUCUGGGUUUGAUGCCGCUCAUGAUGAGACCGUUUGCCCGUUCGACCUGACCAUUUGUUUGAGGAUGGUAGACGUAAGCAUAGUCGAGAUUAAUGCCCAUUUUGCCGCACCAAGCUUUCACUUCAUCGGCUGUAAAAUUUGAGCCAUUAUCGGUGAUGAUGCUGUGGGCGACACCAUAUUGGUGUACGACCCCGGAUGUAAAGUCUAUUACUGGUCUGGAUUCGGCCGUUUUCACUGGUUUGGCUUCUAUCCAUUUGGUGAACUUGUCUACCAUGACCAAUAAAUAUUUUUCUUGUGGCUUCCCCUUUAGGGGUCCAACCAUAUCCAGUCCCCAGACCGCGAAGGGCCAAGUUAUGGGGAUUGUUUGGAGAGCGGUAGGGGGCAUAUGACUCUGGUUGGCAAAGAGCUAGAAACUGACGCAGUGUUGGACAAGGUCCUGUGCGUCUGCUCGGGCCGUCGGCCAAUAGAAACCUGUACGGAAGGCCUUGCUGACUAGUGCUCGAGCCGCGGCGUGGUGCCCGCCCAGUCCGGCAUGGAUUUCAGCCAAGAGCUGCUGCCCUUCCUCUUCGGAGAUGCACCUUUGGAGCACUCCGGUCGCACAUUUCUUAUAGAGUUCUCCUUCAUGGACCUUGUAAGCUUUAGAACACCGGACGAUGCAGCGUGCUUCAUUUUUAUCUUUGGGGAGCUCCUGCCUAUUUAGGUAGGCCAAGAAAGGCUCAGUGCACGGGGCGAUAACAACCAUUAUUUUGUGGGCUGACGGUGUUAUUUUGGUGGUGCAGCCUCCGAUUAUGUCUGAUAUUCGGAAUCUGGGGAUGUAUUCGGAUCCGUGUUGGUAUUGCCGGACUCCCCUUCCCAUACCACAGAUGGCUUGAACAACCUUUCCAGGAAUAUAUUAGGUGGGACAGGGUCGCGUUUAGCGCCGAUGCGGGCAAGGACAUCUGCCGCUUGAUUGUUUUCUCGAGCCACAUGGUGGAAUUCGAGCCCCUCGAACCGAGCUAACAUUUUAAGGACGGCAUUGCAAUAGGCCGCCAUUUUCGGAUCCUUGGCAUCAAAGUCUCCAUUUAUUUGUGAUAUUGCGAGGUUUGAAUCCCGCGCACUUCUAGGCGUUGAAUGCGCAUAGAGACUGCCAUCCGAAGAUCAUGCAACAGAGCCUCAUAUUCGGCUGCAUUGUUGGAGUCUGUGUAUAAUAUUUGGAGGACAUAUUGGACCGUGUCUCCGGUGGGAGAUGUCAGGACUACGCCUGCUCCAAAUCCGGCCAGCAUUUUAGAGCCAUCGAAGUGCAUGAUCCAGUUAGAGUAUGCGCCGUACUCUUUAGGGAGUUCGGCUUCCGUCCAUUCGGCGACGAAGUCAGCUAAUACUUGCGACUUGAUAGCCCGCCGAGGAUUGUAUGUUAUGUCGAACGGAAGGAGCUCGAUGGACCAUUUAGCAAUCCGGCCCGUGGCAUCGCGGUUAUUUAUUAUAUCGUUUAGUGGUACUUCAGAGGCCACCGUAAUUGAAUACUCUUGAAAGUAGUGUCGUAGCUUUCGGGAUGACAUGAAGACCGCGUAUGCUAUUUUUUGGUAGUGUGGGUAUCGGGAUUUGCAUGGGGUGAGGACCAUGGAUACAUAAUAAACCGGCUUCUCUAGCGGGAGUUUGUAUCCGUCAACCUCCCAUUCGAUGAUGAGUAUUGCGCUUACAACUUGAUUUGUUGCAGCUAUAUACAGCAGCAUAGGUUCGCCGAUAGUUGGUGCUGUUAGGACUGGAUUACUGGCCAAUAAGGUCUUUAUUUCAUCGAGUCCGGCCGCGGCUGCAUCCGUCCACAUGAAGUGUUCAGUGCGCCGAAGAAGGCGGUAAAGAGGUAAUGCCUUUUCUCCUAACCUAGAGAUAAAGCGGCUCAAGGCAGCCACGCAUCCAGCUAGUUUCUGGAUGUGCUCGAGGUCAGUUGGUAUAGCCAACUGUGAUAGAGCUCAGAUUUUUGCCGGAUUCGCUUCAAUUCCUCUAUUGGAAACAAUGAAGCCCAGUACUUUCCCCGAGGGGAUGCCGAAGACGCAUUUUUCCAGAUUUAACUUGAUGUCGUAUGUCCGAAGGUUAUCAAAUGUAAGCCUCAAGUCAUCUAUUAGGGUUUCGACGUGUCUUGUUUUUAUGACCACGUCGUCCACGUAUGCCUCCACUGUUUUGCCGAUUUGCUUUUCCAGGCAUGUUUGAAUCAUGCGUUGAUAGGUUGCACCGGCAUUCUUAAGCCCGAAAGGCAUAGUGUUGAAGCAGAAAGGGCCAUAUGGCGUUAUGAAAGCUAUUGCAGCUUGGUCAGACUCUGCCAUCUUUAUUUGAUGGUAUCCAGAGUAUGCGUUGAGAAAACACAGCGAGUCGUAUCCAGCUGUGGCAUUGAUGAUUUGAUCGAUGCAAGGGAGGGGAAAGGGAUCCUUGGGGCAAGCCUUGUUGAGGUCUUUGAAAUCGACGCAUAGGCGCCAGGACUUGUCCUUCUUUGGUACCAUUACCAAGUUCACCAGCCAAUCCGGAUGUUUGAUAUCUCUGAUGAAUCCGGCCUCGAGUAGCUUGGCUAGCUCCUCCCCCAUGGCUUACCGUUUGGGCUCUGAAAAUCGCCUUAGGGUCUAUUUAACAGGUUUGUGUCCCUUCAGUAUGUUGAGGCUAUGUUCGGCCAAUUCGCGCGGGAUGCCCGGCAUGUCCGAUGGGUGCCAGGCGAAAAUAUCCCAAUUCUCGCGUAAGAAGUCGCGCAGUGCAACGUCCAUAGUGGGGUUCAACUGUGUCCCGAUGGAAGUUGUCUUCGUGGGGUCCAUUGGGUGGACUUGGAAUUUGACUAUCUCAUCUGCGGGUUUGAAUGAGGUGGACUUGGGUCGCUUGUCGAGUAUCACGUCGUCCCUGUCCACGGUGGCACGCAACAUUGUUAAUUCUUCUGAUGCUAGGGCUUCGGACAGUGCUUCCAAGACUAGUGCUGCGGUUUUGUUUUCGGUGCGGAGUGCGACAUCUGGAUCACUAGCUAGAGUGAUGAUUCCAUUGGGUCCGGGCAUUUUAAGCUUCAUGUACCCGUAAUGGGGUAUAGCUUGAAAGCUUGCAAACGCGUCUCGCCCUAGAAGGGCGUGGUAUCCGCUGCUGAAGGGAGCCACUUGGAGCGUGAUUUCUUCGGACCUGUAAUUUUCUGGGGUGCCGAAUACCACAUCGAGUGUGAUUUUCCCCGCGCACCAUGCUUCCCGACUAGGGAUAAUUCCCCUGAAGGUUGUGGCUCUUUGUUCAAUGCGACUUUUGUCAAUUUCAUUCUUCUUGAGUGUUUCUUCAUAGAUUAAGUUUAAUCCGCUUCCGCCGCCAUGAGUACUUUAGUGAGCCGAAAGCUGUCCACUAUUGGGCUAAGGACCAGAGCGGCUGGUGCCCGGAUGGUCUGGAAUUGGGGUUCAUCACUGGCAUUGAAAGUUAUAGCAGUGUCGUUCCACGGAUUUAUUUUUGCCACAUGGCAGAUUUCAGCGGAGCUUCGAUGAGCUCGCUUACGCCUAUUGUUUGAGGCGAAGGUCUCGAAGACUGUUAGUACCGUAUUGUGUUCCUUGGCAGGAUGUUGUUCAGCUUUAUGGCACUUGAGGAGAUCCUCGCCACUUUUUGCUACCUGCCGGAGUAUCCAACAUGCCCUAAAGCUAUGGGUUGGUACUGUGUCCGGCGUACUGUGGAGCUUACAUGGCCCAUCAGCCAUUAUUCCAAUACGGUUCCACGCCCUGGGGAGGGUUUUGGUUCCUUGGGAAUUGAAUUGGUCGACUUACGAGAGUUCGACCGUUUAGUUCAGACAAAGGUUUUGGUGAGGGCCGUACUAUCCCAAAAUUCUGUUUGGGUCUUCCAGGCGCUUUCCAUUGCACAGUACUUCCGUACUAUGGUUGCCAUGUCCGCAAAGUGUACUAUGUCACGGCGACUUAUAGCAUUAAUGAGUCCUUUGUUCGUGCAGUUUCUGCAGAAAAGCGAGACUAUGUUCUCCUGGUGGUAGUCCUCGACCUUGUUAAGCGCAAGGAGGAAUCUGGCCCAGUAACGGUGUACCGUCUCCUGGGGCUCUUGCCUGAUACGGGUGAGACGGUUUAAGCCCGAGCGAGUGUCGUUGGCUGAAUCCGGAUUUUGAUCCGAUCUAACACCUGGGGGCACGAGAGGUUCCGAGCCUGACAGUUCGGGAUCUGGAGUAUUACCCAAUCCCUUCGGCCCAAUUCCCGAUUCUAUGUACUGGACCUGGGUCAUGUCUUCCUUUGGGUGGGUGUUCGACUCACUGAGUUCAGUGAUCCGGACGUAAUUCGCCCUCAAAGUUGAGGGGCAACUCGCGUGUGGUUCCUCCACUACCGCUAUCUCAUGGGUGACCGGCGGGGAUCUAAUGUCCCUCUGGUCGGGUUUAAGCCCAAUCCGGUCAUAGUCCGUAGCGACUCCCAAAGUGGCGAUGCGAUCCAAGAGCUCAUUAAGGGAGGAGAACUCAAUCGGAUCCAUCUUUUCGGCAAGCUCCGAAUCGAUGCGAAGGUUAUGCGUGAUGACCCGAGAGGCCAUCGUUGGUGUGACAGCCAAUGGGGCGGUCAUAAUGAAGCCGCCAAGCCGGAGAGUCUGGCCUACAGCCAGCGCUCCCCCAGAGGUGAUGUCGUCCUUGACAACGAGACGAGCCAUUGAGCCUUUGCAGCAACGACACAGUGGAACUCUCAAUGAAAGCACCAAUGUUGGUGUCAAAACCGGCGGAUCUCGGGUAGGGGGUCCUGAUCUGUGCGUCUUAGGCUGAUGGUAACAAGAAGCAAGGGACACAAUGUUUACCCAGGUUCGGGCCCUCUCGAUGGAGGUAAAACCCUACUUCCUGCUUGAUUAAUAUUGAAGAUAUGUGUAGUAUAAGAGUAGAUCUACCACGAGAUCAUAGAGGCUAAACCCUAAGAGCUAGCCUAUGAUGGUAUGAUUGUAAUUGUGAUCGGCCUUCUAAGGACCAUCCUCUCAGGUUUAUAUAGACACCGGAGAGGGCUAGGGUUUACAUGGAGUCAGUUACAAGGAAGGAAAUAUAAUAUCCGGAUCGCCAAGCUUGUCUUCCACGCAAAGGAGAGUCCCAUCCGGACACGGGCCAAAGUCUUGAGUCUUGUGUCUUCACGCUUCAAUAGCCCGGACGAUGUAUAUAGUCCGGCUGUACGGAUACCCCCUUAUCCAAGACUCCCUCAGGGGGUGCCCUCCACCCUCGUGGCCAGGUGGCAGACCCCCCCUGCAGUGAUUUUAGUGCCUAAAAUCCUUAAAUAAUCCAUUAAAAAUCAUACUAAAUUUGCAGGGCAUUUGGAGCACUUUUAUUUUCGGGAUAUUUUUUUAUUGCAUGGAUAACUCGGAAAACAGACAAAAUAUUGUAUUUCUACUUUAUUUAUUCUAAGUAACAGAAAGUAAAGAGAGGGUACAAAAGGUUGUGCCUUCUAGCUUCAUCCGUCUCAUGAUCCUCAAAAUGAAUCCACUAACAAGGUUGAUCAAGUCUUGUUAACAAACUCAUUCCGAAUCACAUAGAACUGGAGAAAUUUCAAAGUGACACUAGGUUACCUCAACGGGGAUAUGAAAAUCCCCAAUAAUAAGAAUAUCAUACUUUUUCUUUGCAGUAGGAAGAGGAAAUUCAAAACCUCCAAUGAUAAUUGAUGGAAUUUUCCCAAUAGAAUUUAUGCUGUGAACUUGAGGUUGUUUCCUCGGAAAAUGUACCGUAUGCUAAUUUACAUUAACAUGAAAGGUGACAUUGCCUUUGUUGCAAUCAAUAACAGCACCUCUAGUAUUUAAAAAGGGUCUACCGAGGAUAAUCGACAUACUAUCGUCCUUAGGAAUAUCAAGAAUGACGAAGUCUUUUAAGAUAGUAACAUUCGCAACAACAACAGGCACGUCCUCACAAAUGCCGAUAGGUAUAGCAGUUGAUUUAUCAGCCAUUUGCAAGGAUAUCUCAGUGGGUGUCAACUUACUUAGUUCAAGUCUACAGUACAAGGAAAGAGGCUUAACACUAACACCGGCUCCUAAAUCACAUAAAGCAGUUUUAACAUAAUUUCUCUUUAUGGAGCAUGGUAUAGUGGGUACUCCAGGGUCACCAAGUUUCUUAGAUAUUCCACCCUUAAAGGUAUAGUUGGCAAGCAUGGUGGAGAUCUCAGCUUCUGGUAUUUUCCUUUUGUUAGUGAUGAUAUCUUUCAUAUAUUUAGCAUAAGGGCUUAAUUUAAGCAUAUCAGUUAAGCGCAUGCGUAAGAAAAUAGGUCUAAUCAUUUCAGCAAAACGCUCAAAGUCAUCAUCAUCCUUUGUCUUGGAUGGUUUAGGAGGAAAGGGCAUGGGUUUCUGAACCCAUGGUUCUCUUUCCCUACCAUGUUUCCUAGCAACAAAAUCUCUCUUAUCAUAACGUUGGUUUCUUGAUUUUGGGUUAUCAAGACCAACAGCAGGUUCAAUUUCUAUAUCAUUGUUAUUACUAGGUUGAGCAUCUACAUGAACAUCAUUACUAGCAUUAUCAUUAGGUUCAUGUUCAUCUCCGGAUUGUGUUUCAGCAUCAAAGAUAGAAGUAUUAUUAGGAUUCUCAGGUGUUUAUACAUUGGGUUCACUAGAAGCAUGCAAAGUUCUGUUAUUUUUCUGAGAAUCUUGUUCUAUCCUCUUAGGGUGUCCUUCAGGAUACAAAGGUUCCUGAGUCAUUUUGCCAGUUCUAGUAGCCACUCUAAUAGCGAAUUCAUGUUUAUUAUUUAAUUCAUCUAGCAAUUCAUUCUGAGCCUUAAGUACUUGUUCAGCUUGAGCGGUAACCAUAGAAGCAUGUUUACUAGUGAGUUUAAGUUCGCCCUUAACUCUAGACAUAUAAUCACUCAAGCGUCCAUUCAUAUAAGCAUUAUUUUUCACCUGUCUACUAACAUAAUCAUUGAAAUUUGCUUGUUUAUCCAUAAAAUCAUCAAACUCAUCUAAGCAUUGGCUAUGAAACUUAGUAGACGGAAUUUGAACUUUGUCAUAUCUAUAGAGAGAAUUUACCUUUACUACCUGUGUCGGGUUAUCAAGACAAUGUGUUUCUUCAACAGGCGGUAUAUUAAGACCAUGUAUUUCUUCAAUAGGAGGUAAAUUCUUAACGUCUUCGGCUUUAAUACCCUUUUCCUUCAUUGAUUUCUUUGCCUCUUGCAUAUCUUCAGGACUGAGAAAUAGAACACCUCGCUUCUUUGGGGUAGGUUCAGGAAUAGGCUUAGGAGUUAGCUCAAUUGGUUCAGGAAUUGCCACAGGAAUUGGCUCGGGAGGAGUCCAAUUAUUUUCAUUCGUCAACUUAUUAUUCAAUAACAAUUCAGCUUGGUCGACUGUUUUUCCCUGAAAACACAACUAACACAACUAUCCAAGUGGUCGUUGGAAGCAUCGGUUAGUCCAUUAUAGAAGAUAUCAUGUAUUUCAUUUUUCUUAAGAGGAUGAUCAGGUAAAGCAUUAAGUAAUCGGAGAAGCCUCCCCCAAGCUUGUGGGAGACUCUCUUCUUUGAUUUGCACAAAAUUAUAUAUUUCCCGCAAGGCUGCUUGUUUCUUAUGAGCAGGGAAAUAUUUAGCAGAGAAGUAAUAAAUCAUAUCCUCGGGACUACACACACAACCAGGAUCAAGAGAAUUAAACCAAGUUUUAGCAUCACCCUUUAAUGAGAACGGAAAUAUCUUAAGGAUGUAAUAAUAGCGAGACUUCUCAUCAUUAGUAAACAGGGUGGCUAUAUCAUUUAACUUGGUAAGAUGUGCCACAACAGUUUCAGAUUCAAUGCCAUAGAAACGAUCAGAUUCAACUAAAGUAAUAAUCUCAGGAUCAACGGAGAAUUCAUAGUCCUUAUCAGUAACACAGAUAGGUGAAGUAGCAAAAGCAGGGUCAGGUUUCAUUCUAGCAUUAAGGGAUUGCUGCUUCCAUUUAGCUAAUAACUUCUUAAGAUCAUAUCUAUCCUUGCAAGCAAAAAUAGCUCUAGCAACUUCUUCCUCCAUAACAUAACCCUCGGGAACAACAUGCAAUUCAUAAUUAGGAGGAGAACCUUCAUCAUCACUUUCAUCAAUAAUUUCAUUUUCAAUAAUUUCAUUCUCCCUAGCCCUAGUAAGUUGUUCAUCAAGAAAUUCACCUAAUGGCACAGUAGUAUCAAGCAUAAAAGUAGUUUCAUCAUAAGUAUCAUGCAUAGCAGAAGUGGCAUCAUCAAUAACAUGCGAAAUAUCAGAAUUCAUAGCAGUAGCAGGUUUAGGUGUCGCAAGCUUAUUCAUAACAGAAGGAGAAUCUAGUGCAGAGCUAGAUGGCAGUUCCUUACCUCCCCUCGUAGUUGAGGGAUAAACUUUAGUUCUUUGAUCUUUCAAGUUCUUCAUAGUGCUCGGCAGAUAUAAAUCCCAAGUGACUCAAAGAAUAGAGCUAUGCUCCCCGGCAACGGCGUCAAAAAUUAGUCUUGAUAACCCACAAGUGUAGGGGAUCGCAACAGCUUUCGAGGGUAGAGUAUUCAACCCAAAUUUAUUGAUUCGACACAAGGGGAGCCAAAGAAUAUUCUUAAGUAUUAGCAGUUGAGUUGUCAAUUCAACCACACCUGGAUAACUUAGUAUCUGUAGCAAGGUAUUUAGUAGCAAAGUAGUAUGAUAGUAAUGGUAACAGUGGUAAAGGUAAAUAUAGUAAUGAUAGCAGUAUUGUAGUGAUUGUAAUAGUAGCAACGGAAAAGUAAAUAAGUGAAGCACAAUAUAUGAAAAACUCCUAGGCAUUGGAUCAGUGAUGGAUAAUUAUGUCGGAUGCGAUUCCACAUGUAAUAGCUAUAACAUAGGGUGACACAGAACUAGCUCCAAUUCAUCAAUGUAAUGUAGGCAUGUAUUCCGAAUAUAGUCAUACGUGCUUAUGGAAAAGAACUUGCAUGCCAUCUUUUGUCCUACCCUCCCGUGGCAGCAGGGUCCUAAUGGAAACUAAGGGAUAUUAAGGCCUCCUUUUAAUAUAGAACCGGACCAAAGCAUUAGCACUUGGUGAAUACAUGAACUCCUCAAACUACGGUCAUCACCAAGAAGUAUCCCGAUUAUUGUCACUUCGGGGUUGUCGGAUCAUAACACAUAAUAGGUGACUAUAGACUUGCAAGAUAGGAUCAAGAACUAACAUAUAUUCAUGAAAACAUAAUAGGUUCAGUUCUGAAAUCAUGGCACUCGGGCCCUAGUGACAAGCAUUAAGCAUAGCAAAGUCAUAUCAACAUCAAUCUCAGAACAUAAUGGAUACUAGGGAUCAAACCCUAACGAAACUAACUUGAUUACAUGGUAAAUCUCAUCCAACCCAUCACCGUCCAGCAAGCCUACGAUGGAAUUACUCAUGCACGGUGGUGAGCAUCAUGAAAUUGGUGAUGGAGGAUGGUUGAUGAUGACGAUGGCGACGAAUCCCCCUCUCCGAAGCCCCGAACGGACUCCAGAUCAGCCCUCCCGAGAGGUUUUAGGGCUUGGCGGCGGCUCUGUAUCGUAAAACGCGAUGAAACUUCCUCUCUGAUUUUUUCUCCGUGAAACAGAAUAUAUGGAGUUGGAGUUGAGGUCGGUGGAGCAGCAAGGGGCCCACGAGACAGGGGGUGCGCCUUAUAGGGGGGCCCACCCUCGUGGACAGGGUGUGGGCCCCCUGGCCUUCAUCUUUUGCCAGUACGUUUUAUAUUUUCUGAAACUUAUCUCCGAGGAUUUUCAAGUCAUUCCAAGAACUUUUGUUUCUGCACAAAAAAAAACAC
This 72227-nucleotide long non-coding RNA is filed under the name Triticum aestivum (bread wheat). Its description in RNAcentral is "long non-coding RNA (TAES_LNC000272)". The record is from RNAcentral. Lineage: Eukaryota; Viridiplantae; Streptophyta; Magnoliopsida; Poales; Poaceae.